AGCCGAGGCAAUGGCCUCUAUUGAUUUCUUCCUUGGCAUUUUUGCUCAUAGCCACUACUGCCACGGCUGCUUAUGAGCCUUACAUUUAUGCCUCACCACCUCCACCGCCUUACUAUUACAAGUCACCACCACCACCAGAAUAUUCUCCACCACCACCUUACUACUACAAAUCUCCACCACCACCUGAGAAGUCUCCCCCGCCACCUUACUACUAUCACUCACCACCUCCUCCUAAGAAGUCACCCCCACCACCUUACUACUAUAAGUCUCCGCCUCCGCCGAAGGAAUAUCCCCCACCACCUUACUACUACAAGUCUCCGCCACCACCGGAGAAGUAUACCCCGCCACCUUACUACUACAAGUCUCCGCCCCCACCCGAGAAGUAUACCCCGCCACCUUACUACUACAAGUCACCGCCCCCUCCGCCACCUUACUACUACAAGUCUCCGCCACCACCGGAGAAGUAUACCCCGCCACCUUACUACUACAAGUCACCGCCCCCACCCGAGAAGUAUACCCCGCCACCUUACUACUACAAGUCACCGCCCCCACCGGAGAAGUAUCCCCCUCCACCUUACUACUACAAGUCACCGCCCCCACCGGAGAAGUAUCCCCCUCCACCUUACUACUACAAGUCACCGCCCCCACCAGAGAAGUAUCCCCCUCCACCUUACUACUACAAGUCACCGCCCCCACCAGAGAAGUAUCCCCCUCCACCUUACUACUACAAGUCACCGCCCCCACCAGAGAAGUAUCCCCCUCCACCUUACUACUACAAGUCACCACCGCCACCAGAGAAGUAUCCCCCUCCACCUUACUACUACAAGUCACCACCGCCACCACCUUAUUAUUAGAAGUCUCCUCCACCUCCCUCUCCAUCUCCACCCCCUCCAUACUACUAUAAGUCGCCACCUCCUCCUUCUCCAUCUCCACCCCCACCGUACUAAUAUUUGUCUCCUCCACCUCCUAAAGGCUACUAAAUAUACAAUGUGUUGUUGAAACAUGUGUGAUCUUAGUUAUGUAAGAAUAAGUGUAAGUUUGUAAGCUUGUUCUAUUUCUGAUUUUUUCUUCAUCAAUGUUUUUGUGAAUAAAAGGAUUUGAGAUGGUAAAUCCAUUUGUAAGAAGUGCUGCUCAUUUUCGUUGUAAAAGUUAUUGUAAGCAAUAAGAUCUCGUAAUUUAAGGUUUCAUAAAAGUUAUAUGUGCAACUACUUUCAAUUUCCAUUGUCAUCUUUUUCACAACCACCAAGCGUAUUACUUCUUUAUAGAUGGAAAAUGCAGAGGCAAGCUUAUUAUUCUUUAAUAUUACCAUUCUUGAUGUGUUUGUUUAUUUAGUUGAAACGGUAAAUAAAAUGUACAUGAAGUACCGCACUGCAUCCAAAUUAAAUUUAGGAUAUAGACUAAGUUCAUGUAAUCUCAAUUUUGUCACAUUAUUAUUGGAUUUUAUAUAAAUAGCUAAUUUCUUUUCCUUCCGAAUUUCGACGGGAAGGAGAAUUUAUUAAGUAAUACAGAGAAGUGCACCUAGUAAUAUUUAAAGAGGAUAUAAUGAGCACUACCUUUCAUGAUGAUAAUGCCCAUGAACAAGUAAGAGAAGCUUAGAGUUUUAUUCCUACUCAAAUCAGAUUCUACGGAGGAGUUAUAUUCGUACCUUUUUAACGCUUUACAUAUAUGAUUAGAGAAUUAUGAGGACAUAAAUUCCGCUAUAAAUUUGUUGUUAUAUUUAGAGGAGUUUACAUGACUGGAGAAUUAUACACACAUAAAUUCUUUGAUGUCCAUUUUAAAUUAUAUUCCAAAAGGGAAAAUGUUUUCCGUUUAUGGUUUAAAAAUAGAAGCUUUGUGCUUUUUUUUUUUAAAAAAAAAAUCUAGAUCAUUCAGUGAAUAUUGGUUGUUAAUUUACUGCCAAAAUACUCGUAAGUUUAUUUAUUUAUUCUGUAAUGCAACUUUUGGGAUACAUAAUAAUCAUAUAAAUAAAUAAACUAUAUUGUAAUAUAUUUCAAUUAACUUGUUGACUUGUAUGAAAAGAGCGUGUCAUUACCUUUUAUGCCUAAUUAAAUUUACAAUUUUAGUCCCUAUGAUUUUUUUUUUUCAAUCAUUAAUUCCAUGCUCUUAUGAGUAGAAACAUAUGUAGAAUUUUGAUAUUUAAGAGUUGGUGGAGUUUCUAUGAUAUUUUGUACCUGUGGCUCAUCAUUUCACCACGGUGGGCAACUUCAUGGAUUUUGUCCUCUAAAAGGUAGCACUCUAACUUAAGAUGCCAUGUUCUUCAGAAAGUUAUCAAAUAGUUGAAUAGUUAUAUUAAGUUUAUUAUUGAUAAGAAUCUUAAUUAACUAGAUAUAGUACUUAAUAUACAAUGUUUUAUUCGUGAAAUUGUUGAACUAUUUUCACCAUUUUUCAAUGUCAUUUUCAGGAUGAGCUAUCAUUUGGAAUUUCAUUUUCUAUGGACUCUCACUUUUUCCCAUAACCACUUUUUUUGUUUAUAUUUUAUCAGAUUAAUUAUUCCUUGUUUGUUUAGAAGGAGCUUUCAUAUUGGAGAAAUACAUUACGUAUCUUAUAAAUCUAUGCAUCUUUACCUUUUUUUUUCCCAAAAUAAUUAAAAAAAAAAAAACCUCACCAAUGACCAAUCCAAUGUUCAAUAUGAAAAGUUUGAAGAAAAAAUGGUGUGAACUAAAACAAAAUAUAUAAUUUUGUCACAAUCCAAGAAAAAAAAAUCAUUAUAAAAUAUAAUUAAGAGGUAGCCACCUUCUCUACAUCAAUUUGUCACAAAACUAUAUCAGUGAGAUAUAUGCAAGACUCACCCAUUGGUACAAAAGAAAAUGAUCAAAGUGGAAGCAAAAAUGUGGUGAUAAUUUAGAUGAUCUCCACUCCCCAUUUAGUUUCAUUUAUUAAGUUAAUGUUUAAUCAAGAGUCUAAUUACUCAUUUUAUUAUGUUAUUAAUCAACUGCCGCCCCUUCCACUGGUUCAUUAUUUUUUAUGGAAUACAAAAAACAGACAAUAAUAUUCUUUGACAUAGCUAGGAAUAUAGCCCACUUGCAAGAGACUUACAUUCCAUCGCUCCCUAAUUUCCCGUGUAACAUCUUAUCUUGCAUCACAUCAGAGACGUGUUCGUUUGCACAGCCAUUUCGUGAAUAUAAAAUUGCUGCCGAAUAAGCAUCUAAUCAAAAGAAUUUGUCAACGGUAUAAAUUAAAAUAUAAAAAACGAGUAAAAGAAUUUGUCAAUAGGAUAUGGGAGGCCAUGGCUUCAAUCGGUUUGUGCAAUGGUCAAUGGCAUAUUUUUGCUCAUCGUCACCACUGAAUCCACUGAUCAUUUGUGCAUGUGAGUUGUUUUUGAGCAUUUAUUUUUCCCUUUAGAAGCAUAAGGAUAAGGCUAGUCUUCUUUUUGGGAGGACUUAUUGCUUCCAUUCGUUAAAAUUGGGCAUGUAAAAUGUCAAGAAAAAAUGGCCUAAGUGGCUAGCUAGAUGAUAUAAUGGAUGGUUACUACUCAAACCUAGCAAUAAAUGAAUGUCCGACAAGCAUUCAAAUGAAUGAAUAAAACCAAUCAGAUUAGAAUAUCUAUUUAUGAUAGAUUAAUGAAAAUACGAUUCAAAUAUAAGGUAAAUAAUCUCUCCAUUAAUUUUUUAUUGUUUCAGGCAGGGUUGCCAAGCCUCUGUCCGGGCUUCUAUAAGCUCAAUUCCAGCUCUCCUAUAUGAUUGAAUUAGAUCGGGCUAGGCCCUCGGACUUUUUAAUUAAAAAAGGUCGAUUUUUAAGUUUAUGAAGUUAAUACACUCACGCUUAUACUUUAAUAUUUUUAUUAUUUGGCUUUUAGAAUAUUAACGUGUAAAUUACUUUUUUUUUUCAAGUGAAAUAAUUAUCACAUUUUGUCUUCUUAGUAUAUAUUUCUACCUUUUUGUUCCUAUAGAUAUUUCCUCAUUUCAUCUUUGGUACUAGAGCGUAGUAAAAAAACACAUGAUUAAAGAUAAAUAUGACAUUUUAACUAACAAAUUAAUUAUUUGUAUCUAAGAUCUAGCUCUAGUGGUAAAGAUCAAUUUUCAUCGAAUUCAAGUCUUGGGUUUGAAUUUAAAUGCAUGGGUAAGUUAAUAAUAAUAAUAAUAAUAAUAAUAAUAAUAAUAAUAUCAAAUUAACUAGCUUUAAUUUGCAAAGGUCUUAGAUAAUCAAUUCGCUUGUAAAAAUAUCAAAAUUUUUUUUAAUCAAUGAAAUUUUCAAGUCUCUAGUUUUAGCACAAGGAAUGAAUUAAAAGAGUAAUGAUAAAUAUUUUACAAUUUUAUCCCAAAUGAUAAGACAUGUCAUGUGUCAUGUAUUAAGUGAUUGAUGAUUUUUUUAUAAAUUUUAAGUGGAUGAAAUAUAUUAUUUCACCAACCAGUAAAUGAAUAUGACAUCAUUUGAGAAGGAAUUUUAUGGUACAAUUUUGAAAUAUUUAUCACUACUCAAUUAUAUACAGUAUAAAAAAUCUAAUAGGGACCAAAAAUAUAAAAACAGAUUAAGAAUAAAAAAUAUAAAAGUCAAUUCCUAAUUAGGAGAAUGAAAGUGUCAUUCCCCUGUAAUCAUUUCACUAGAUAUUAUGUAAAUAUAUUAAGGCAAAAUUUUAAUAGAAAAUUGGUACCCAAACCUAACGUCUUUGACAUUGCUGCCAAGAUCACUCACAACUUACAAGAAUAAAAAAUUGGUAUUAAAUUUAUUAAUGUUCUCAAGGAAUUUUUAGCUUGACUUUACAUUUCUCGGACCCAUUUGUCACAUAACACCUUAGUUCGUUAACAAAGCCCUUUCAUGAGAAUAUUAGAACUGCUGUCGAAUAAGCAUCUUAACAACCCCUUUUUGACAUACAUGCAUGCCUCCUUCUGUGAACAAUUUGAAACAUAAAAUAAAAUUUCAAUCGAUGUGAGGGUUGGAGUAUUUUAUAGCUUUUGACCUCAUUAAUUAUGAGUAAGAGAAUAUUUCUACGUCACUAAUGGUUAAAAUGAUCACUAUAUAAAGGGUAGCAAAGUAUGUUUAACAUCAAGUCAGAAAACACAAUUUUUAGGAAAUGGGAACUCGGGGACAAGCGAGGCAAUGGCCUCAAUUGUUUUGUGCUAUAGCAUUUUUGCUUAUAACCACCACCACCAAGGCAUCGGCUGAUGAUUAUGCCUCAGCACCACCACCAAAGUAUUCUUCUCCACCUCCUUACUACUACAAAUCACCACCUCCUCCUUCUCCCUCUCCACCUCCACCAUAUUAUUACAAGUCUCCCCCACCACCAUCUCCGUCUCCUCCACCACCUUACUACUACAAGUCACCACCACCACCAGUGCAUUCUCCCCCGCCACCUUAUUACUACAAAUCUCCGCCGCCACCAAAGUAUUCUCCCCCGCCACCUUAUUACUACAAAUCUCCACCGCCACCAAAGCAUUCUCCCCCACCACCUUACUACUACAAAUCUCCACCGCCACCAAAGCAUUCUCCUCCACCACCUUACUACUACAAAUCUCCACCACCACCAAAACACACCUUACUAUUAUAAAUCACCACCUCCACCAAUGAAGUCUCCACCUCCGCCAUAUUACUAUAAAUCACCACCACCACCAAAGCAUUCUCCCCCGCCACCUUACUACUACAAGUCUCCACCACCACCAAAACAUUCCCCACCACCACCUUACUACUAUAAGUCACCGCCUCCACCAGUAAAGUCUCCACCACCGCCCCCAAAGCAUUCUCCCCCACCACCUUAUUAUUACAAAUCACCACCUCCACCAGUGAAGUCUCCACCUCCGCCACCUUACUAUAAAUCACCACCACCUCCAAAGCAUUCUCCCCCUCCACCUUACUAUUAUAAAUCACCACCUCCACCAAUGAAGUCUCCACCUCCGCCAUAUUACUAUAAAUCACCACCACCACCAAAGCAUUCUCCCCCGCCACCUUACUAUUAUAGAUCUCCACCACCACCAAAGCAUUCUCCCCCACCACCUUACUACUAUAAGUCACCACCUCCACCGAAGAAAUCCCCACCUCCACCAUAUUAUUAUAAGUCGCCACCACCACCAAAGCAUUCUCCCCCACCUCCUUAUUAUUACAAAUCUCCACCACCACCAAAGUAUUCUCCACCACCACCUUACUAAUACAAAUCUCCACCAACGCUAUCUCUAUCCCCACCUCCAUCUUACAUUUAUAAAUUCCCACCUCCACCAUCUAUAUCACCUCCACCACCACCUCCAUCACUGUCACUAUUGCCUCGCUACUGUUCCAAGUCAUCACCACCUCCUGAAGACUACUAAGUUCAAUGUUCCGUCUUCAAACAAAUUUAAAAUUCAAUAAGAAUAAAUUUGUUCCUUCAGUUGCCUUUUUCAUGAAUUUUUAUGUUAAUGUUUUUACGAAUAAUUUUUAAGAAGCGUUCGGUGUAUCAUUGUCAUGUGCAAUAAAAAUUUUCUAACUUAAUGUACCCAAAAAAAAAUGUUCCACAAGAAAUAUUCUAUUGUUUUAUCACAAAUGUGUUGUGGCACAUGUAAUGCGCCUAGAUAAAGUAAUAUUAUGUCUUGAUGAACAAUCAUGCACAACAAUGAUCAUGUACAUAGUUCUUCCAAUGUCAUGAUAAUGUCCAUGCACAUAAUAACAAACUUCUUCCUUGUAAUAUCAAAGAAAAUGAAUAUACAAGCCUCUUAUUCUCUAAUCAUUCACUCAAACAACAUUGUUUUAAUUUAGGUUUUGAUCAAUCUUAAUGCUCAUAAAUGCUAACUACAAAUCAUAUACAAGAUCAACAAAAACCAUAUUUUAAAUGAAUUAGAAAAACAAACAUUAGACUUAACCAAGUAGUUAACCUUUAUUAUUCUCCUAGGUAGAUUACAAGCUAUCACUGAAAAAAAAAAUCAUCUAAAAUGGUGAACAAAUGCGCUCUAAAUCAGUUGCAUUCAUUUGUUCAGCUAAGCAAUAAAAUAACCCUUUUCCAUUUUAACUUAUAUACUUUGGCAUGGUAACUUUAAAUAACACCCUCAACUUGACAAAUUUUAAUAACCAAAGCGAUCAAUAACUGUAAAUCUUGACAAAAUUUUUUACUUUAGUUAAAGCCAUAAACAUAGUAUUAAAUAAAAUGAAAAAAAAGGCCAUAAACAUAGUGUUGAAAUACCUUUAUACUUGUGAACUAACUUUUGAUGUUGAUUAAGCUCAUGUACCCUCAACUUUUGUAUUAUGAAUAUGCUUAUGCCCUAUCUUAGGUCUCCUCUAUGAACUCCUCCAUGAACCACUUUUUUUUUUUUUUUUAAAAAAUAAAUUCAUUAUGAUACUAAGGUAUAAGCAGAAGUAAAAUUCCUUUAAUAUUAUUGUAAUCAGGAUGUGGCUACCUAGGUGAUACAUGAAUUGGUUAUUUGUACAUUUUACUACAUUUUUUUGAGUUUGCUUGCUAUUUUUCUCUUUGUUCCAAUAAUUCCCACACGAGGAUAAUCUCAUUUUAACAAAGAAAGAUACUACUGAAAUACAACAAAACAUAAAUUCUAAUAUACUAGAAAAUUUUUUUUUCUUUGCCUUUUCAUAUCUUAGAGUUAUGUUUUUAUCCUCUUGUAGUGGCAUAUAUGCAUUUUAACUAGAAUAUUCUUAUUUGAGAAUUAUUAAUAAGAGAGUGGUAGACAAAUGAUACAAAACUAUGCUGCUUCACGAUUAACAACACAUUCAAUCGAGUAACGAUAGAGAGUCAAUUCUAACACCACGAGAAAGCAAACAAAAGUUGAAAUAUUUUAGCGAAUACCUUUUAAAGUUUGAAUUAAUAAUAAAAUUGUCCCAAAAAACUGCCUUAAUGGAAUUAAUGUGGAGAUUUAGUGGUAGGGUGCAUCAAUAUCAUUUUCCAGAAAAAAAAUAGUCAAAAUAUGAAAGGUUUGUUCUGCAGGUGGUUGAUAUUGCUGUACAUUAAUAUCAAUGAUACGUACCAAAUUCUAUUAUAAAAUUCAUUAAUGUAUAAGUAGAAUAUUUAAUAAAUUAAUUCCGGGUAAAACGUCGGUGAUAUGAACAGUAGCGAAGCUGCAACCGGGUUAGCUUUUUUUUUUAAUAAAAAAAUAGUUAAUUAUAAUUUAUGAAUUUGCCUUUAUUAAUACUUAAAAAAAUAAAAAUAAAUUUAAUAGCCCACCCCGAUGCUAGCUAAGCUAAAAAUAAAAUAUAUCGAAUAAAUGGUGAAGAGAAAGCUGUAAUAAUUAUCGUAAUUACAGUGAGAAGCUGUAAUUUUCUUGAACACGCUUUGACGUACGAUUAGCAAAAAAGUCGUCUGUCUAUAAGCAAUUGGCCGUACAGCAUCUUAACUAUUCCGUUGACAUUGUAAUUAAUUAAUUGAUGACUUUUCUAUAAUUUCUUUGAACCAAAUGCAGAUAUUUAGUGGGCAACCCGCAACCCUUGCUUGGCAAAAUAUAGGAAAGAAAAACUUGAAAUUUAUAAAUGUUACAUUUUGUUUGGAUGAAUAAUUUUGAGAUAAUGUUUCAGUUUUAGAUUUUGUUACCGAUACCUAAUUAUAAUAAUAAAAAAUAUUGCAUCAUUUUUUUACCAACAGUUACAAUACAUUUUAUUUUUUUUUCUUCUCAAUAUUUAAACUCGAAUAAUCAGUUAAAAGUUGCUCGAGAAUGUUUAAAAGCCAUUUAAGUAUACCACGUCAUUCAUGUUUUGCAAUCAUUCAAUUGUUAAUAAGUUUCCCAUGUGCUGAAAAUAAAUAAAAAUGCACGUGCAUAUGUCAUAUUGUCUCCGAAACCUCACAGCGGAAUGAGUGUAGUACUUGCAAUGCAUGUACUUUAGACUUUGUAUUUCUCUUAUUUAAAUGAUCAAUAAUUUUUCUUUGUCCUUUAAUUAGACGUCAACAGUCGAAGUUGUGGGCAAGUAGUAGGCUAUAUAUAAUAAUUUCCUGGAGAUCUUCCGUCUUCUAAGACAUUGCAAAUGCCAAACGUGAUAACUAUUUUGAUAAUUCAAAUACUACAUAAAAUAUAUGAAGUGUCAGACAAGUCAAAAGAAUUGAUUCUUCACAAUUGUAUAUACGUAUACACACACUUUGCCCAAAUCCCAUUGUAUCCAGGCUGUAAUUUUUAUAUUAAACGAACAUAUUUUAUUUUAUGUCAGCAAUAUUGAUGCAGGCUGGUGGAACAACAGCUUCAGGAUGGUCAACUACCCUUCGGAUCAUUGCAAGUGGGAUGGCAUCACUUGCAAUUCAGAUGGAACCAUAAUCGGGCUAAAAUUAUCAGGGUAUGAUGUUGACUUCAAAAGGUAGUCUUCGUAAAAUUAUCAUGGUAUAAUAUACGUAUUUAUUUUCGCAUACAUAAAUAAAUAACAAAAUUGUAAUUAAUUGGAUACAACUUCAGCUUUUGGACUGGUUUGUGAAAAUCGGAAAAAUUUAAAAAUGCUCCUCUUGAACAAUCAAAAUCUACUUUAUACGUGAACAAAGGGGAUGAUUCGUAAAGAUAAUUCAUCAAUGUUUGAUUACUUUCAGAAAGAUAGACUUCAUUUGAUCUCGUCCCAAAGCAUAAUUUCACUUUGAAUUUGAAAAAGAAUAAUGAAGUUCAUACGAUGCUGUUGUGACCUUUUUUUUUUGUUUUCUUUUUUUCUCGACGUUGUUUUGUGAAUCAUAAGGGUUAAUUUAGUACGGUGGGUUCGCUUGUAUGAAGCGUACUUAUUGUACCAUUCUGUUGCAAGUAAUGAAAAAACGCUAUAAUUUUUUUUAGGUUUCUACAAGUAUUAUGUUAUCUUAUAUCUAACUGUGCAUCUCUAUUCUUUGCUCUCAGUUCAGGUUCUCUAAAAGUAUAUUAAUUAUGAAAAGCAUUAAAGGUUCCGAAACUCUAUUUUGCGGGGAAAAAGAACCUCCAUUUUUGGUUUUUUAUUAUCAUAAGAGGUUUUACUAUGCUCGUAAUAACUUAAUCGAAAUUAAACAUAUCACUGGUCUACAUUUUUUUAUCAGAUUUUGUGCCUUGCUAAUUAAGAUGAGUAUCACCAUCAAAUCAACAAGCUUAUACCUUCAAAGAAAAAUAGACUAUAAGUCGGGAGAAAGAAGAAGAAAAAAAAAAAGAAGCUUCGCAAUUUAUGCUGUUGGUUGUGAGUUCAUGAAACAAAUAAAAAUAUGAAAUCAAACAUUUAUUCAAAAUUUAAAAUUAAAAAAAAAACUCUAUAUCUACAGUAAUCUGUUCAAACCACAUAGGUGGAGCAAUAUAGUUCCAAGACGUGGUUUUAAAACAUGUCUUUGUGAUAAACAAUAUCGUGAUACUUGCGCCAAUUCCCAUGGCAAUAAUUGCCUACAUUUAUCCAAGAUCCAUGGCCAGGUUUAGAAUGUGCUAGUCUUCUUUCACUUUCAUAAAUAACCACUACUAGGUAAUCAGAGUGUCGGUCUAAAUUUUUCGGAGAUACAACGUCAAUGUAUGUGCCCGGAGUUGAAGCUGAACGCGCUUAAAUAUGUUCGGAAUUUGAAGUUGAACGCCUGGAAAAGGAUGCAGACUGAAGAAAGGCAAUUCCUGGAAUUUGUCUUUGGUAAGAAAACAUGGCUGCUUAUGCCCUUUGAAAGACUGAAGAAACCAAAUUGAUUAUUGCUGCAAUUUAGUGGCACAUGUACGAGGAGAGGCAUCCAAUUAAACUUGUUCAUAAAAGUAUUGCUGAUAGUUGCAGCCGAUCUCCAGACAAAAUCUUCGUACAAUUUUAUCCGCCAGCAAUUUCGACCAAGAGACCUUGAUGCAGUUCAGACCAAUUCGCCAGUUGAACAUCAAGUUGCCUAGGCAUUGAGAAUUAGGUCAAUAAAAUAUAUCCUGGGUCACUUACAAAAGAUGAAAUAAGUGAAAAAGGAAAGAUGACGUAAUAAUUUCUUAGUGAGAAAAGUUAGUUAAUUUUCAAUUGCUUUCAUUGUUUUGAUAAUUUUCAAAACAUUUCAUUGCUUUCAUUGCGUAAUUAAGCUUUUUUUGCUUCAAAAUAUUUCAAAUUGUGUUUGUGGGACUACUAAACAAUUAGGACACAACAAUGUUUCGUUCUGGUCUUUUUUUUUUUUUACUUUUUAAUUUAUUUUAAGAAAAUCUUUGUCCAUCUCUCAUCCUGCCAAAUAUAUCGUCUCGUCUUGUUAUCUAGAAUAAUUCUUCAUGCAUCAAUGAGUUUUGACAAAUUUUUAUCUUUUAAAAGUUGUUGUAAUUCAAUAUAGCUAAAAUCUUAAAUACAUACAUGUAGAAUAAUCUAAGCAUUACCUUAUUCGGGGAAAAUCGAGAUUAGAAUCAAUCAAAGCAAUGAUACCUUAUAUCAGUGAGAUAUAUGCAAGACUCACCCAUUGGUACAAACGAAAAUGAUCAAAGUGGAAGCAAAAAUGGAAUCCUCAAAUGUGGUGAUAAUUUAGAUGAUCUCCACUCUCCAUUUGGUUUCAUCUAAUAAGUUAGUGUUUAAUUAAGAAUUUAUUACUCAUUUUAUUAUGAUAUUAAUCAACUGCCGUCCCUUCCAUUAGUUCAUUAUUUUUGAUGGAUUACGAAAGACAGACAAUAAAAUUCUCCAAAACUGUUGUAAGAGUAAUAUUGUAAAAGUUACAUAAAAGUGAGGAUAAGGAUAAUUUGAGGUAUGUUUCAAGAUAUAAAGAUUAAAUAAAUUCUUAACUCAAAAUAAAGAGAUUUAUUUUUUUUAAAAGAGAUUAAAAUGUCAUGAUAAAUAAAUAAGGGAGGUGAUAUUCUGGGCUCUCCCCUGGCUUUUUGUGAUAACAUCUUAAAUUAAUAUAAAUAGUUAAAAUUUUAUUAAAAAAUAAAUUUUUACCUAAUACUCUUUGACAUAGCUAGGAAUAUAGCCUACUUGCAAGAGACUUACAUUCGUUUGCACAGCCCUUUCGUGAAUAUAAAAUUGCUGCCGAAUAAGCAUCUAAUUAAAAGAAUUAGGAAUUUGUCAACGGUAUAAAUUAAAUAUAAAAAACGAGUAAAAGAAUUUGUCAAUGGGAUAUGGGGGGCUAUGGCUUCAAUCGUAGGGGUGGGCAAAUUUCGGAUUCCGAAUCCGAUCGGAUUUUGGAUAAUUCGGAUUGGGAAAAAAUCCAUCCAAAUUCAAUCCGAACCUUAAAUCUGUUUCGAUCCGAGAUAAUUUCGGAUCCGGAUCAGAUUCGGAUGAGUUUGAAUUUCAGAUUAUAUUUCAAGUUCGGAUUAUAUUUUGGAUUCGGAUUAAUUCGGGUUUGGGACCUUUUUACAAUUCUCACAAAAAAAUUAUGAAAUUUAUAAUUAAUGAAAAAUAAUUUCCAUGAUGCUGUCAACAAUAAUUAAUAUUUUGAAAACGCAAUAACGGAAUUUUCAAAAAAAAGAAAAAGAAAACACAGGAACGGUAUUGAUAAAGAAUUUUCAUUAGCCAUUUGUGACUGCUAACUAAAUUGUAACAACUAAGUAAAAUAUAAUAAUAAUAAUAAUACAUGCGGGUAUAUUCAAAGCAACUAAAUCACUUGCGAAUGAUCAAGACAAAUCGUAUAAACAAGUAAAAAAUUCAAAGUUUCAAACGCAAAUCGUCGGGGGCUAUCGGAUUAGUGGAUUACCAUUAACAAGACGAGGUUUAUGUCGGUGUGAGUUGCUCAUUGUGGGUCUGGAUGAUGUCGCGAUGGCUGGGUUUGUGCCAACUAUGAUCCAGCUAGGUUUGUAUCGAAUCUGAUCUCGUCUAGAGGACGUUGUGGCGGCUGGGUUUGUGUCGAAUUCAUUCGGUUUGUCUCGUCGGCGACAUGGUUGUUGGUUGGCUCGUCAGGUUGUGGCCCGUGGGUGUGGUGUGGUUUGUUGUCGUGGAUUGACUUAUCAAAGGGCGUGCGACGAUGGUGUGUGGUUUUGUCAUUUGGAAAUUGAGUUUUGAUUUUUCAUUUUCGUUUUUUUAAAAAAAAAUUUUUGGAUUAUUCGGAUUGAACUGAAUCUUAUCCGAUCCAAAUCAAAUCCGAUCAGAUUACAAAAAUUUCAUCCGAUUGGAUUUUAAAGCAAAUCCAAAUCCGAUCCGAACAAAUUCGGAUCGAAUUGGAUUAGAUCGGAUCUAUCCGAAUCUGAUCCAAUGUCCACCCCUAUUCAAUCGGUUUCUGCAAUGGUUAAUGGCAUAUUUUUGCUCAUCGUCACCACUGCAUUCACUAAUCAUUUGUGCACGUGAAUUGUUUUUGAGCAUUUAUUUUGCCUUCGUUAAAAUUGGGCAUGUAAAAAUUUCAUGAAAAAUGGCCAAAGUGGCUGGCUAGGUGAUAUAAUGGAUGGUUACAACUCAAACCUAGCAAUAAAUGAAUGUCCGACAAGCAUUCAAAUGAAUGUAUAAAACCAAUGAGAUUAGAAUAUCUAUUUAUAAUAGACUAAUUAAAAUACGAUUCAAAUAUAAGGUAAAUAGUCUCUCUAUUAAUUUUUUAUUGUUUCAGGUAGGGUUGUCGAGCCUUUGUCCGGGCUUCUGUAAGCCCAUUUCCAGCCCUCUUAUAUGAUUGGAUUAGAUCAGGCUCGGCCCACCAGGCCGGGCUAAAUCUUGAGCUCUUUUUAAAUAAAAAAAAGUUGAAUUUUAAGUUUUUGAAGUUAAUAUAUAUACACACACACUUGUACUUAAAUAAUUUAUAAAUUUUUUAAAAGCCAAAUAAUAAAAAUAUUGACAUGUAAAAGUACAAUUUUUUUUUCAUGUGGAAUAAUUAUCUCAUUUCUACCUUUUUGGUCCUAUAGAUAUUUCCUCAUUUCAUCUUUGGUAUUAGAGCAGUAGUAAAAAGACACACGAUUAAAGAUAAAUGUGACAUUUUUACCGACAAAUUAACUAUUUGGAUCUAAGAUCUAGCUCUAAUGGUAAAGACUAGUUUUUAUAGAAUUCAGGUCCUGGGUUUGACUUCCAAUUGCGUGGGUAAGCUAAUAAUAAUAAUAAUAAUAAUAACAAAUUAACUAGUUUUAAUUUGCAAAGGUCUUAGAUAAUCAAUUCGUUUGUAAAAACAUCAAAUUUAUUUUCAGUAAUGAAAUUUUCAAGUCACUGGUUUUAGCACUAGGAAUGAAUUAAAUAGAGUAAUGAUAAACAUCUUAAAAUUUUAUCCCAAAUGAUAUGACAUGUAAUGUGUCAUUUAUUAAGUGGUUGGUGAUUUUUCAUAAAUUUUAAGUCGAUUAAUUAUAUUAUUUCACCAACCAAUAAAUGAACAUCACAUCAUUUGAGAAUGAAUUUUAAGGUAAAAUUUUAGAUAUAUAUCAUUACUCAAUUAUUUUUUAUAGUAUAAAAUCUAAUAGGGACCAAAAAUAUAAAAACCAAUUAAGAAAAAAAAAGUCAAUUCCUAAUUAGAAGAAUGAAAGUGUCAUUCUCCUAUAAUCAUUUCUCAAGUUUUUAUAUAAAUUUAUUAAUGCAAAAUUUUAAAAGAAAAUCGGUACCUAAAACUAACGCCUUUGACAAUGCUGCCAAUAUCACUCACAACUUACAAGAAUAAAGAAUUUGUAUUAAAUUUAUUAAUGUUCUCAAAGAAUUUUUAGUUUUGACUUUACAUUCUCAGACCCAUUUGUCACAUAACAUCUUAGCUGAUUAACAAAGCCCUUUCGUGAGAAUAUUAAAACUGCUCUCGAAUAAGCAUCUUAACAACCCCGUUUUUGACAUACAUGCAUGCCUCCUCAUGUCAGCAAAUUUGAAACAUAAAAGAUAAUUUCAAUCGAUGUGAGAGUUGGGAGUAUUUUAUAGCUUUUGACCUCAUUAAUUAUGAGUAAGAGAAUAUUUCUACGUCACUAAUGAUUAAAAUGAUCACUAUAUAUAUAAAGGGUAGCAAAGUAUGUUUAACAUCAAGUCAGAAAACACAAUUUUUAGGAAAUGGGAACUCGGGGACAGGCGAGGCAAUGGCCUCAAUUGUUUUGUGCUAUAGCAUUUUUGCUUAUAGCCACCACGACCAAGGCAUCGGCUGAUGAUUAUGCCUCAGCACCACCACCAAAGUAUUCUUCUCCACCUCUUUACUACUACAAAUCACCACCUCCUCCUUCUCCCUCUCCACCUCCACCAUAUUAUUACAAGUCUCCCCCACCACCAUCUCCGUCUCCUCCACCACCUUACUACUACACGUCACCACCGCCACCAGUGCAUUCUCCCCCGCCACCUUACUACUACAAGUCACCACCGCCACCAGUGCAUUCUCCUCCGCCACCUUACUACUACAAAUCUCCGCCGCCACCAAAGCAUUCUCCCCCGCCACCUUACUACUAUAAGUCACCACCACCACCAGUGCAUUCUCCCCCGCCACCUUAUUACUACAAAUCUCCGCCGCCACCAAAGUAUUCUCCCCCGCCACCUUAUUAUUACAAAUCUCCGCCGCCACCAAAGCAUUCUCCUCCACCACCUUACUACUACAAAUCUCCACCACCACCAAACCAUUCUCCCCCACCACCUUACUACUAUAAGUCACCACCACCACCAAAGCAUUCUCCCCCACCUCCUUAUUACUACAAAUCUCCACCACCACCAAUGUAUUCUCCACCACCACCUUACUAAUACAAAUCUCCGCCAUCGCCAUCUCUAUCCCCGCCUCCAUCUUACAUUUAUAAAUUCCCACAACCAUCAUCUAUACCACCUCCACCAUGACCUCUAUCACGGUCAUUAUUGCUUCCUUACUACUCCAAGUCACCGCCAACUCCUUUAUCUCCACCUUCACCGUAUUACUACAAUCACCCCCACCUCCCAAAGACUACUACGUUCAGUAUCCCUUCUUGAAACAAGUUUAAAAUUCAAUAAGAAUAAAUUUGUUCCUUUGGUUGCCUUUUUUUUUAAUUUUUUACUAAGUUCAAUGCCCCUUCUUGAAACAAGUUUCAAAUUCAAUAAGAAUAAAUUUGUUCCUUUGGUUGCCUUUUUAUGCUUUUUUGUGUCAAUUUUUUUACAAAUAAUUUGUAAGAAGCGUUCAGUGCAUCAUUUGUCAUGUGCAAUAAAAAUCUUCUAACUUAAUGUAUCCCCAAAAAAAAAAAAAAAAAUUGUUCUAUAAGAAUUAUUCUAUUGUUUUAUCACAAAUGUGUUGUGGCGCAUAUAAUGCUCCCGGAUGAAGUAAUAUUAUGUCUUGAUGAACAAUCAUGCACAACAAUGAUCAUGUACAUAGUUCUUCCAACGUCAUGAUAAUGUCCAUGCACAUAAUAACAAACUUCUUCCUCAUAAUAUCAAAGAAAAUGAAGAUACAAGCCUCUUAUUCUUUAGUCAUUCACUCAAACAACAUUGUUUUAACUUAGGUUUUGAUCAAUCUUAAUGCUAAUAAAUGCUAACUACAUAUCAAAUACAAGAUCAACAAAAACCAGAUUUUAAAUUAAUCAGAAAAACAAACACUAGACUUAACCAAGCAGUUAAGCUUUAUUAUUCUCCCUCAGUAAAGGAUACAAAGAUGUAGGUGGAUUACAAGCUAUCACUGAAAAAAUAGAAAUCAUCUAAAAUGGUGAACAAAUGAGCUCUAAAUCUGUUGCACUCAUUUGUUCAACUAAGCAAUGAAAUUACCCUUUUCUAUUUUAACUGCUUGUCUACUUUAACACGGCAACUUUAAAUAACAACCUUCAACUUGAAAAAUUUGAGUAACCAGAGCCAUCAAUAACGGUAAAUCUUGACAAAAAUUUUAGUUUAAUUAAGGCCAUAAACAUAAUAUUAAAUAAUAAAAAAAAAAGGCCAUAAACAUAGUGUUGAAAUACCAUUAUACCUGUGAACGAACUUUUGAUGGUUAUUAAACUCAUGAACCCUCAAUUUUUGUAUUAUGAAUAUGCUCAUGGCCUAUCUUAGGUCUCCUCUAUGAACCACUUUUUUUUUAAAAAAAUUAUAUUCAUUAUGAUACUAAGGUAUAAGUAGAAGUAAAGUUCUUUUAAUAUUUUUGUAACCAGGAUGUGACAACCUAGGUGAUACGUGAAUUGGUUAUUUGCACAUUUUGCUACAUUUUUGUGAGUUUGCUUGCUGGUUUUCUCUUUGUUCCAACAAUUCACACAUAGGAUAAUCUCAUUUUAACAAAGAAAGAUACCACUAAAAUACAACAAAACAUGAUCAAUUCUAAUAUACUAGAAAACUUUUUUUUUUUGUUUGCCUUUUCAUAUAUUAGAGUUGUGUUUUUGUUAUCUUAUAGUGGCAUCUAUGCAGUUUAACUAAAUGAGAAUAUUCUCAUUUGAGAAUUAUUAAUAAGAGAGUAGUAGACAAAUGAUACCCAACUAUACUGCUUCACUAUUAACAACACAUCCAAUUGAGUAAUGAUAGAGAGUCAAUUCUAUCACCAAAUGAAAGCAAACAAAAGCUGAAAUAUUUUAGUGAAUAUCUUUAAAGUUUGAAUUAAUAAUAAAAUUGUCCCAAAAAACUGUCUUAAUGGAACUAAUGUGCGAUUUAUUUGUAGGGUGAAUAAAUAUCAUUUUCCAGAAAAAAAUAUAGUCAAAAUAUGGAAAGCUUGUUCUGCAAGUGGUUGAUAUUGAUGUACAUUAAUGUCAAAGAUACAUUAAGUGCAUGCCAAAUUCUAUUAUAAAAUUUAUAAAUGUAUAAGUAGAAGAUUUUAUAAAUUAAUUCCUGUAAAACGUCGGUUAUAUGAAUAAAUGGUGAAGAGAAAGCUGUAAUAAUUAUCGUAAUUACAAUUUUCUUGAGCACGCUUUGACGUACGAUUAACAAAAAAGGUCUGUAUAUGAGCAAUCGGCCGUACAUUAUCUUAACCACCUGAUUUUGUUUUUUUUUUUUGUAAUUUCAAUCUUGGCCGUUGGAGUCAAUGAAAAGAUCGUUCAAAUGGUAGAGAUUUGUCUAUUUGAUUAUUAACAUUAUGCUUCCCGAUGGUUAUCAAAAACCCAAACAAAUUAAAGAGUUAAAACUUUUAGCACAUAAGUCCGAAUUGUUUCAAAUUUAUGUUGUUUAAUCACUAGUGAGUCUCAAAAAAUAAAUUUAUUUUAAUAUUAUAUAUUUUAUUUAAAAGAAUUAAUUUUUUAUAUCAUUUAUUUUAUUAAAAAUAAAUAUUAUUGAAUACUAAUUAUUCUCAUUUUAUUUAAUAUUAUUUAGUUAUAGGCUUAUUAUUAUAUUUAAUUGUUCAAAAAACUAAAAAAAUUUAAAUAAAAUAAAGUAAUUGAUGGUUGUCGAAGCCAACAAAAAUAAAUUCCUACUCUAAAUAAAUUGUGUAUAGUGAUUGAGCAGGGUCGUGUCCACAGAGAUCGGUAAUUAUUUAAAUCCUUUUGAAACGUAAAACGUAAAAUGGGGGAAUUGUUGACAAUAAUAAAAAUCAAAUUAAAAUAACAAGAAUGCAAAUUAAAGUUGUAAUUCAAAUUGGAGAAAGCUCUGGUUGAAGGAAUUAACUCAGCUUGAUUCGACUACUGAUCAUUGAUUCAAAUAUAGAUUAUUAUUACUCAUGAAUAGACCGGUUAUAGCUACUGAGACCCUCUAAUAGCCAAUCUCUCCUUAACUAGUCGAUAACCAAGGUACGACCGUUGGAUAUUCCCUAAUCAAUAGACAACCCUAGAUACGAUCAUAGAAUUUAAUCAAUUGACAGCCUGAAAAACCAGAAAGACCCAAAUCCUAAUCAACACAUAUGAUGAUUCAUUUAAAUUAAAUUGUUUAUUCUCACAACACAACUCUCUGCUAUGUCAUUUGUCACAAACAUUAAAUUCUUCAUACGAUGAAUCCCUUAAUUGACAAUAGAUUAAGUUGAUAAUUAAAUAGUGGCCAACUGCUGUACGGCCAAGGCGGAUGUACGGUACAGCAGAAUACAUUCCCUUACUCAACUAACAAAGUCUUUCAUUUAUCUGAAAACAGUUCCAAUUUUGAAAUAUCAGUGUCAAACUUUUCCCAGCAACAUAUUUAUCAUCUCUCCACAUUAUCCUUAACUGACAGCAGCUUGGAAGAUCUUCAAUCAGCAAGUUCAGAAAGCAAUGAACAAGUACCUUCUGUUUCUGCACACACAAAUAAUCUGCAUCAACAAGAGCAUUCUNNNNNNNNNNNNNNNNNNNNNNNNNNNNNNNNNNNNNNNNNNNNNNNNNNNNNNNNNNNNNNNNNNNNNNNNNNNNNNNNNNNNNNNNNNNNNNNNNNNNNNNNNNNNNNNNNNNNNNNNNNNNNNNNNNNNNNNNNNNNNNNNNNNNNNNNNNNNNNNNNNNNNNNNNNNNNNNNNNNNNNNNNNNNNNNNNNNNNNNNNNNNNNNNNNNNNNNNNNNNNNNNNNNNNNNNNNNNNNNNNNNNNCAGCAGAAUAAAAUAUUAUUAAUUUUAUUUUUUUUAUUUUGCUAUCUUACUAAUAAUUGGCAAUAAUAAUAAUAAUAAUAAUAAUAAUAAUAAUAUCUUUAAGGUUAAUGAUUUUAUUUUCUAAUUAAUAUGGAUAAUUUUAGAUUUUUAUAAUAUAUAUGACGAUAAACACGAAAUUAAGUAUAAAACUAAUUCUCAAAAUCCGAUUUUAAAAAUCUACUUUUUCCCUACUUUUUAAAAUCUUCAGUAAGAUAAGGUAAAUUUACCAAAAGUGAUUUCUGAAAAUAUUUAUCAAAUAAUAAAAUUAAUUUGUAACUUUUCAAAAUAACUUUUAAAUCUCGCAAAAAAAAAUCCUAAAUGAGUCCUAAGUACCUAACUUUAUGACGGUCAACAAAUAUGGUAUAAAAGUCUUCUACACCUACUGGGCAUUUGAAUGGGCCAUCUGUCUUAGCUCUUACCUCUUAAAAUGGGCUAAAAAUCAGAGAGUCAGUUAACUAAUAUGGGCUAAAAUUUGGGUACACCUCUCGGGCAUGUUAAUGGGCCAUCAUCUUUCACAGGUUUCUAAAGGGUAAAGGCUUUCUGUCUCCCAAGACUUCGACUAGUGAAAUUUAAUCGAUAUAAAUAUGUAGCUACCUAUAUUUAUAUAAGAAAAUGAUGUUCUCAUAAAUUUGCGUGCAAAGAUUUGCACAAAACGGUGCGUUUUGUGCAGCUUUAAAAAUGCUCUUCGUACGUGCACCAAACAACACACAAGCACGCCAAUUCACAACAUCAUUUUCCCACUCGCGUCUGCCUCCUUUCACUGCAACAAAAACCCAGCAGCUUCGUUCUCCACACAGCAAGAAGUCUCCUUAUUAAUAUAAUAUUAUAUAAUAAACUCAACAGAAGUCUCCUUUCUUCCUCCAUUUUUCCUCACGAGAUAGCUCCGAUCUCUCUCCCUCCGUCCUCCUUUCUUCCUUACAAGACAGCUCGGGUCUCUCUCUCUGGCCUCCUUUCUCCCUCACAAGAUAGUUCGGAUCUCUCUUUCCAGUCUCCACGCCGCUAAUAGUCCCAGUUCUAACCUCUCUCGCCCCGCAGCAACCAUAAGAUCUCUCUCUCACCCGUUUCAAUUCAUUGCUCUAAUUGAAAUCUUUAACUCGUUUAGGACAUUGUGCUGAAUUACCUAUGGAUGGUGGUGGUCUUAUGCUUGAGUGUUGUAAAUUAGAAUCAAAUUAUGCAAAACCUGAUGCCUUUGGGAAUCAUGUUUAUUUCAAGCUUCUAUGUUGUGAUUUGAUUAUUUGAUGAAGCACCUGGAAAAUGUAGUUUGCUCCCUCAAAUUAUUUUACUCUGUUGAAUAAAUUGUAUUUGCCAUUAUUUGAAAAGAAUUUAAAAAAAAAUUACAGCCCCGAAACAUUGAGCUUAUGCUAUAAUUUAAGCAUCUCCCUCAUUUAUAGCACAUUUAUUUUCAUAAUUUACGCGACAAUGGAGAACGGAGCCGAGACUGUUAGUGGCAUGGGGAUGAGAGAGAAAAAUAUGAGCUGUUUCGUGAGGUUUUGUUAGGUUUCGUGAGGGAGAAAGGAGAUGGGAGAGAGAGACGCUGAGUUUUGUUGCUCCCCUCACUUGUGUGUGUUUGGUGUUAAAACUUUGCAGCAAAGAGUGGCUUUUAUACUUUGCACAAAACGCACCGUUUUGUGCAAAGUUUUGUGCAAAGUGUUGUGAGAACAUCAUUUUCCAUUUAAAUAUUGGCUUUUCAUUUUUUUUCAAAUGAGAAUUGAUCCAGUGUGCACCAUCAUGCACAGCACAAGGUAUAUUUUCAUCAGUGGGCGCUAGGUCUCAUAGAUUGGUUCUCUCUAAUAAGAACAUGUCGUCUGUUGUCCCGCGCUAGAUCGAAUGCGUUUUCAAAUUUGUCAAAUUACAUUUUGAGCAUGUCAUAGUGGACGUUAUUACAAAGUCGUCAAUCUCAAUACAAUAAUCAUGACAUCAGGUUUUGAGAAUGUGAAUAAAACUCAUAUUUAUUUGAUAAAAUAUAAUUUAAAAAUAAAAAUAAAAUAUGUAUAUUCUAUAUAAUUUGAUAAUAAAAAAUAGAAAUCUCAUUUUUAUAUUGGGUUGGGAAUGAGGAUUCCUAUUUCUUGAACUGACUUUUAUAUCUCUCUAUUUUUUUCAUAUUUUUUAAAUUAUUCUCGUUUAAAUCACAAUUAAUUUGAUUACUGCUGUACGGCCAAGGCGGAUGCAAUAGAAUUGCACCUACAAAAGUAAAACAUAAGUAAAUCACUAUUAUUAAGUGCAAAACAUUGAUAUUAAGGGAAGUAAAUAAUGCAAAACUAGUGCAUAAAUUGCACUCUAACAGUAAUCAGUAAUCAGCAUUAAAAAUUAAAUUAAAUUAAAUUUUUUUGUUUUUAAUAUUAUUUAGUUAUAGACUUAUUAUUAUAUUUAUUCGUUCAUAAAACUAAAUAAUGUUAAAUCAAAUAAAAUAAUCAGGAAUGGUUCUUAAAAAAUUAAUAUUAUUUAUUUUAUUUUAUUUAAUAUUAUUUAGUCAUAGCCUAUUAUUCUGUUUAUUUUUUGAAAAUUAAAUAAUAUUAAAUAAAAAUCCCCCCUUUUCACAAUAGAUUCCUCCCUUCAAUACUCUCUCUCUCCUCUCUUUUAGAAUUCUAUUUAAAAUAAAAUACUAAUAUCUGAAAUAUUAAAUUCGUAAUUACAAAAAUAACCAAAAAUACAAAAUACGUUAAACUAAAAACUGCAGGUCCGCAGUUGACAGCACGCGCCCACGCCUUAUCAACAAAGUUCUUCUGACGCUCAUAAUUUCUCCAAGAGAACAAUCAUCCUUAAACAUCAUCUUAUAGCUCAAUUUUAUCAUCAAUCAAUAGAAUUACACCUACAAAAGUAAAACACAAGUAAAACAUUAUUAUUAAGUGCAAAACAUCGAUAUUAAGGGAAGUAAACAAUGCAAAACUAGUGCAUAAAUUGCACUCUAACAAAUUCCCCCACACCAAGAUGAUGCUUGUCCUCAAGCAUAUAACUCAAGACUAAUCUCAAAUCUCCACUAAAUUCUCAUCUCAACUCAUCCAAAAAUAAUUUUAAGCAAGCAUACCUCAAGAAAUUAAGUCGAUCAACAUUCGAGAGACAAGGAUUUUUAAAGCAUAGAAUCUCAUAAGAUAGAAUAAGAACAUUCAACCACCAAGAAGAUCCAUUCAAAAUUCAAGUGCAACAAGAUGUAAUAGCCCUCUCAAUAACUUCACUCCAUGCACUCAAAGUGUUUAGGGUAUCAUUUAUGCACUCAAAUCAAAUCAAAGAAUGCUAUUACCAUAAGCUUGCUCAUAUAUCACAUCUCAAUCCACAAAACAUGAAUAAAAUGAAAAAAUCUAAGGGUCUUAAAAGGGUUGUAAUGGGGUUAAAUAGGUUAAAUGAAAAAGAAAGGUCUAUGAAAGAAAAAGAGAUCAAAAUGAGAAGAAUGAACUCAUUGAAUGAACUUAUGAUAUCAAAAUGCUCCUUGGCCGUACAGCAGGAAUGGUUCUUAAAAAAUUAAUAUUAUUUAUUUUAUUUUAUUUAAUAUUAUUUAGUCAUAGCCUAUUAUUCUGUUUAUUUUUUGAAAAUUAAAUAAUAUUAAAUAAAAUAGAAUAGAAAAUGUGAGUCCUUAAAAAUAAAAAUUAUUUUUAAUAUUAUUUAUUUUAUUUAAAAGAAUAAAUUUUUUAAUAUUUUUAUUUUAUUAAAAAAUAUUAUUUAAUAUUAUCUAGUCAUAGGCUUAUUAUUAUAUUUCUUCUUUUAGAAAGUUAAAUAGUAUUAAAUGAAAUAAAAUUACAUUUUAGAAGGUCAUUAGCCAAAGCACAUAAACUUAUAAACAAAUGGAAAUAAAAAAGGUAAAUAAUAUUCAAUAAAAUAAAAUUACAUUUUAAAAGGUCACCAACCAAAGCACAUAAUAUUAUAACAAAAAUGUAAAUAAAAAAGAAAGUAAGAGAUUCAAUGAAAUUUAACAUCACAAAAGACAAUUUCAAAAAUUGGGGGUAGCUUGCAACUGUUGCAAAGUGGCUGGUUCCAUAAUUUUGAGAUAAUGUUUCGGUUUCAAAUAUUGUUAUCGAUACCUAAUUAUAAGUAAUAAAAAAAUAUUGUAUAAUUUUUUUACCAACAUUUACAAUACAUUUUAUUUUGAUUUCUGAAAAAAAUAGAUAAAACACAAAUUAAUUAUUUUAACCCUCUAUUCUCUCAAUAUUUAAACUCGAAUAAUCAGUUAAAAGUUGCUCGAGAAUGUUUAAAAGCCAUUUAAGUAUACCACGUCAUUCAUGUUUUGCAAUCAUUCAAUUGUUAAUAAGUUUCCCAUGUGCUGAAAAUAAAUAAAAAUGCACGUGCAUAUGUCAUAUUGUCUCCGAAACCUCACAGCGGAAUGAGUGUAGUACUUGCAAUGCAUGUACUUUAGACUUUGUAUUUCUCUUAUUUAAAUGAUCAAUAAUUUUUCUUUGUCCUUUAAUUAGACGUCAACAGUCGAAGUUGUGGGCAAGUAGUAGGCUAUAUAUAAUAAUUUCCUGGAGAUCUUCCGUCUUCUAAGACAUUGCAAAUGCCAAACGUGAUAACUAUUUUGAUAAUUCAAAUACUACAUAAAAUAUAUGAAGUGUCAGACAAGUCAAAAGAAUUGAUUCUUCACAAUUGUAUAUACGUAUACACACACUUUGCCCAAAUCCCAUUGUAUCCAGGCUGUAAUUUUUAUAUUAAACGAACAUAUUUUAUUUUAUGUCAGCAAUAUUGAUGCAGGCUGGUGGAACAACAGCUUCAGGAUGGUCAACUACCCUUCGGAUCAUUGCAAGUGGGAUGGCAUCACUUGCAAUUCAGAUGGAACCAUAAUCGGGCUAAAAUUAUCAGGGUAUGAUGUUGACUUCAAAAGGUAGUCUUCGUAAAAUUAUCAUGGUAUAAUAUACGUAUUUAUUUUCGCAUACAUAAAUAAAUAACAAAAUUGUAAUUAAUUGGAUACAACUUCAGCUUUUGGACUGGUUUGUGAAAAUCGGAAAAAUUUAAAAAUGCUCCUCUUGAACAAUCAAAAUCUACUUUAUACGUGAACAAAGGGGAUGAUUCGUAAAGAUAAUUCAUCAAUGUUUGAUUACUUUCAGAAAGAUAGACUUCAUUUGAUCUCGUCCCAAAGCAUAAUUUCACUUUGAAUUUGAAAAAGAAUAAUGAAGUUCAUACGAUGCUGUUGUGACCUUUUUUUUUUGUUUUCUUUUUUUCUCGACGUUGUUUUGUGAAUCAUAAGGGUUAAUUUAGUACGGUGGGUUCGCUUGUAUGAAGCGUACUUAUUGUACCAUUCUGUUGCAAGUAAUGAAAAAACGCUAUAAUUUUUUUUAGGUUUCUACAAGUAUUAUGUUAUCUUAUAUCUAACUGUGCAUCUCUAUUCUUUGCUCUCAGUUCAGGUUCUCUAAAAGUAUAUUAAUUAUGAAAAGCAUUAAAGGUUCCGAAACUCUAUUUUGCGGGGAAAAAGAACCUCCAUUUUUGGUUUUUUAUUAUCAUAAGAGGUUUUACUAUGCUCGUAAUAACUUAAUCGAAAUUAAACAUAUCACUGGUCUACAUUUUUUUAUCAGAUUUUGUGCCUUGCUAAUUAAGAUGAGUAUCACCAUCAAAUCAACAAGCUUAUACCUUCAAAGAAAAAUAGACUAUAAGUCGGGAGAAAGAAGAAGAAAAAAAAAAAGAAGCUUCGCAAUUUAUGCUGUUGGUUGUGAGUUCAUGAAACAAAUAAAAAUAUGAAAUCAAACAUUUAUCCAAAAUUUAAAAUUAAAAAAAAACUCUAUAUCUACAGUAAUCUGUUCAAACCACAUAGGUGGAGCAAUAGAGUUCCAAGACGUGGUUUUAAAACAUGUCUUUGUGAUAAACAAUAUCGUGAUACUUGCGCCAAUUCCCAUGCCAAUAAUUGCCUACAUUUAUCCAAGAUCCAUGGCCAGGUUUAGAAUGUGCUAGUCUUCUUUCACUUUCAUAAAUAACCACUACUAGGUAAUCAGAGUGUCGGUCUAAAUUUUUCGGAGAUACAACGUCAAUGUAUGUGCCCGGAGUUGAAGCUGAACGCGCUUAAAUAUGUUCGGAAUUUGAAGUUGAACGCCUGGAAAAGGAUGCAGACUGAAGAAAGGCAAUUCCUGGAAUUUGUCUUUGGUAAGAAAACAUGGCUGCUUAUGCCCUUUGAAAGACUGAAGAAACCAAAUUGAUUAUUGCUGCAAUUUAGUGGCACGUGUACAAGGAGAGGCAUCCGAUUAAACUUGUUCAUAAAAUUAUUGCUGAUAGUUGCAGCCGAUCUCCAUGAAGUACAAACCCAACGCAAAGAAACAAAGUGUUCGUACAAUUUUAUCCGCCAGCAAUUUCGACCAAGAGACCUUGAUGCAGUUCAGACCAAUUCGCCAGUUGAACAUCAAGUUGCCUAGGCAUUGAGAAUUAGGUCAAUAAAAUAUAUCCUGGGUCACUUACAAAAGAUGAAAUAAGUGAAAAAGGAAAGAUGACGUAAUAAUUUCUUAGUGAGAAAAGUUAGUUAAUUUUCAAUUGCUUUCAUUGUUUUGAUAAUUUUCAAAACAUUUCAUUGCUUUCAUUGCGUAAUUAAGCUUUUUUUGCUUCAAAAUAUUUCAAAUUGUGUUUGUGGGACUACUAAACAAUUAGGACACAACAAUGUUUCGUUCUGGUCUUUUUUUUUUUUUACUUUUUAAUUUAUUUUAAGAAAAUCUUUGUCCAUCUCUCAUCCUGCCAAAUAUAUCGUCUCGUCUUGUUAUCUAGAAUAAUUCUUCAUGCAUCAAUGAGUUUUGACAAAUUUUUAUCUUUUAAAAGUUGUUGUAAUUCAAUAUAGCUAAAAUCUUAAAUACAUACAUGUAGAAUAAUCUAAGCAUUACCUUAUUCGGGGAAAAUCGAGAUUAGAAUCAAUCAAAGCAAUGAUACCUUAUAUCAGUGAGAUAUAUGCAAGACUCACCCAUUGGUACAAACGAAAAUGAUCAAAGUGGAAGCAAAAAUGGAAUCCUCAAAUGUGGUGAUAAUUUAGAUGAUCUCCACUCUCCAUUUGGUUUCAUCUAAUAAGUUAGUGUUUAAUUAAGAAUUUAUUACUCAUUUUAUUAUGAUAUUAAUCAACUGCCGUCCCUUCCAUUAGUUCAUUAUUUUUGAUGGAUUACGAAAGACAGACAAUAAAAUUCUCCAAAACUGUUGUAAGAGUAAUAUUGUAAAAGUUACAUAAAAGUGAGGAUAAGGAUAAUUUGAGGUAUGUUUCAAGAUAUAAAGAUUAAAUAAAUUCUUAACUCAAAAUAAAGAGAUUUAUUUUUUUUAAAAGAGAUUAAAAUGUCAUGAUAAAUAAAUAAGGGAGGUGAUAUUCUGGGCUCUCCCCUGGCUUUUUGUGAUAACAUCUUAAAUUAAUAUAAAUAGUUAAAAUUUUAUUAAAAAAUAAAUUUUUACCUAAUACUCUUUGACAUAGCUAGGAAUAUAGCCUACUUGCAAGAGACUUACAUUCGUUUGCACAGCCCUUUCGUGAAUAUAAAAUUGCUGCCGAAUAAGCAUCUAAUUAAAAGAAUUAGGAAUUUGUCAACGGUAUAAAUUAAAUAUAAAAAACGAGUAAAAGAAUUUGUCAAUGGGAUAUGGGGGGCUAUGGCUUCAAUCGUAGGGGUGGGCAAAUUUCGGAUUCCGAAUCCGAUCGGAUUUUGGAUAAUUCGGAUUGGGAAAAAAUCCAUCCAAAUUCAAUCCGAACCUUAAAUCUGUUUCGAUCCGAGAUAAUUUCGGAUCCGGAUCAGAUUCGGAUGAGUUUGAAUUUCAGAUUAUAUUUCAAGUUCGGAUUAUAUUUUGGAUUCGGAUUAAUUCGGGUUUGGGACCUUUUUACAAUUCUCACAAAAAAAUUAUGAAAUUUAUAAUUAAUGAAAAAUAAUUUCCAUGAUGCUGUCAACAAUAAUUAAUAUUUUGAAAACGCAAUAACGGAAUUUUCAAAAAAAAGAAAAAGAAAACACAGGAACGGUAUUGAUAAAGAAUUUUCAUUAGCCAUUUGUGACUGCUAACUAAAUUGUAACAACUAAGUAAAAUAUAAUAAUAAUAAUAAUACAUGCGGGUAUAUUCAAAGCAACUAAAUCACUUGCGAAUGAUCAAGACAAAUCGUAUAAACAAGUAAAAAAUUCAAAGUUUCAAACGCAAAUCGUCGGGGGCUAUCGGAUUAGUGGAUUACCAUUAACAAGACGAGGUUUAUGUCGGUGUGAGUUGCUCAUUGUGGGUCUGGAUGAUGUCGCGAUGGCUGGGUUUGUGCCAACUAUGAUCCAGCUAGGUUUGUAUCGAAUCUGAUCUCGUCUAGAGGACGUUGUGGCGGCUGGGUUUGUGUCGAAUUCAUUCGGUUUGUCUCGUCGGCGACAUGGUUGUUGGUUGGCUCGUCAGGUUGUGGCCCGUGGGUGUGGUGUGGUUUGUUGUCGUGGAUUGACUUAUCAAAGGGCGUGCGACGAUGGUGUGUGGUUUUGUCAUUUGGAAAUUGAGUUUUGAUUUUUCAUUUUCGUUUUUUUAAAAAAAAAUUUUUGGAUUAUUCGGAUUGAACUGAAUCUUAUCCGAUCCAAAUCAAAUCCGAUCAGAUUACAAAAAUUUCAUCCGAUUGGAUUUUAAAGCAAAUCCAAAUCCGAUCCGAACAAAUUCGGAUCGAAUUGGAUUAGAUCGGAUCUAUCCGAAUCUGAUCCAAUGUCCACCCCUAUUCAAUCGGUUUCUGCAAUGGUUAAUGGCAUAUUUUUGCUCAUCGUCACCACUGAAUCCACUGAUCAUUUGUGCAUGUGAGUUGUUUUUGAGCAUUUAUUUUUCCCUUUAGAAGCAUAAGGAUAAGGCUAGUCUUCUUUUUGGGAGGACUUAUUGCUUCCAUUCGUUAAAAUUGGGCAUGUAAAAUGUCAAGAAAAAAUGGCCUAAGUGGCUAGCUAGAUGAUAUAAUGGAUGGUUACUACUCAAACCUAGCAAUAAAUGAAUGUCCGACAAGCAUUCAAAUGAAUGAAUAAAACCAAUCAGAUUAGAAUAUCUAUUUAUGAUAGAUUAAUGAAAAUACGAUUCAAAUAUAAGGUAAAUAAUCUCUCCAUUAAUUUUUUAUUGUUUCAGGCAGGGUUGCCAAGCCUCUGUCCGGGCUUCUAUAAGCUCAAUUCCAGCUCUCCUAUAUGAUUGAAUUAGAUCGGGCUAGGCCCUCGGACUUUUUAAUUAAAAAAGGUCGAUUUUUAAGUUUAUGAAGUUAAUACACUCACGCUUAUACUUUAAUAUUUUUAUUAUUUGGCUUUUAGAAUAUUAACGUGUAAAUUACUUUUUUUUUUCAAGUGAAAUAAUUAUCACAUUUUGUCUUCUUAGUAUAUAUUUCUACCUUUUUGUUCCUAUAGAUAUUUCCUCAUUUCAUCUUUGGUACUAGAGCGUAGUAAAAAAACACAUGAUUAAAGAUAAAUAUGACAUUUUAACUAACAAAUUAAUUAUUUGUAUCUAAGAUCUAGCUCUAGUGGUAAAGAUCAAUUUUCAUCGAAUUCAAGUCUUGGGUUUGAAUUUAAAUGCAUGGGUAAGUUAAUAAUAAUAAUAAUAAUAAUAAUAAUAAUAAUAAUAAUAAUAAUAAUAAUAAUAAUAAUAAUAAUAAUAAUAAUAAUAAUAAUAAUAAUAAUAAUAAUAAUAAUAAUAAUAAUAAUAAUAAUAAUAAUAAUAAUAAUAAUAAUAAUAAUAAUAAUAAUAAUAAUAAUAAUAAUAAUAAUAAUAAUAAUAAUAAUAAUAAUAAUAAUAAUAAUAAUAAUAAUAAUAAUAAUAAUAAUAAUAAUAAUAAUAAUAAUAAUAAUAAUAAUAAUAAUAAUAAUAAUAAUAAUAAUAAUAAUAAUAAUAAUAAUAAUAAUAAUAAUAAUAAUAAUAAUAAUAAUAAUAAUAAUAAUAAUAAUAAUAAUAAUAAUAAUAAUAAUAAUAAUAAUAAUAAUAAUAAUAAUAAUAAUAAUAAUAAUAAUAAUAAUAAUAAUAAUAAUAAUAAUAAUAAUAAUAAUAAUAAUAAUAAUAAUAAUAAUAAUAAUAAUAAUAAUAAUAAUAAUAAUAAUAAUAAUAAUAAUAAUAAUAAUAAUAAUAAUAAUAAUAAUAAUAAUAAUAAUAAUAAUAAUAAUAAUAAUAAUAAUAAUAAUAAUAAUAAUAAUAAUAAUAAUAAUAAUAAUAAUAAUAAUAAUAAUAAUAAUAAUAAUAAUAAUAAUAAUAAUAAUAAUAAUAAUAAUAAUAAUAAUAAUAAUAAUAAUAAUAAUAAUAAUAAUAAUAAUAAUAAUAAUAAUAAUAAUAAUAAUAAUAAUAAUAAUAAUAAUAAUAAUAAUAAUAAUAAUAAUAAUAAUAAUAAUAAUAAUAAUAAUAAUAAUAAUAAUAAUAAUAAUAAUAAUAAUAAUAAUAAUAAUAAUAAUAAUAAUAAUAAUAAUAAUAAUAAUAAUAAUAAUAAUAAUAAUAAUAAUAAUAAUAAUAAUAAUAAUAAUAAUAAUAAUAAUAAUAAUAAUAAUAAUAAUAAUAAUAAUAAUAAUAAUAAUAAUAAUAAUAAUAAUAAUAAUAAUAAUAAUAAUAAUAAUAAUAAUAAUAAUAAUAAUAAUAAUAAUAAUAAUAAUAAUAAUAAUAAUAAUAAUAAUAAUAAUAAUAAUAAUAAUAAUAAUAAUAAUAAUAAUAAUAAUAAUAAUAAUAAUAAUAAUAAUAAUAAUAAUAAUAAUAAUAAUAAUAAUAAUAAUAAUAAUAAUAAUAAUAAUAAUAAUAAUAAUAAUAAUAAUAAUAAUAAUAAUAAUAAUAAUAAUAAUAAUAAUAAUAAUAAUAAUAAUAAUAAUAAUAAUAAUAAUAAUAAUAAUAAUAAUAAUAAUAAUAAUAAUAAUAAUAAUAAUAAUAAUAAUAAUAAUAAUAAUAAUAAUAAUAAUAAUAAUAAUAAUAAUAAUAAUAAUAAUAAUAAUAAUAAUAAUAAUAAUAAUAAUAAUAAUAAUAAUAAUAAUAAUAAUAAUAAUAAUAAUAAUAAUAAUAAUAAUAAUAAUAAUAAUAAUAAUAAUAAUAAUAAUAAUAAUAAUAAUAAUAAUAAUAAUAAUAAUAAUAAUAAUAAUAAUAAUAAUAAUAAUAAUAAUAAUAAUAAUAAUAAUAAUAAUAAUAAUAAUAAUAAUAAUAAUAAUAAUAAUAAUAAUAAUAAUAAUAAUAAUAAUAAUAAUAAUAAUAAUAAUAAUAAUAAUAAUAAUAAUAAUAAUAAUAAUAAUAAUAAUAAUAAUAAUAAUAAUAAUAAUAAUAAUAAUAAUAAUAAUAAUAAUAAUAAUAAUAAUAAUAAUAAUAAUAAUAAUAAUAAUAAUAAUAAUAAUAAUAAUAAUAAUAAUAAUAAUAAUAAUAAUAAUAAUAAUAAUAAUAAUAAUAAUAAUAAUAAUAAUAAUAAUAAUAAUAAUAAUAAUAAUAAUAAUAAUAAUAAUAAUAAUAAUAAUAAUAAUAAUAAUAAUAAUAAUAAUAAUAAUAAUAAUAAUAAUAAUAAUAAUAAUAAUAAUAAUAAUAAUAAUAAUAAUAAUAAUAAUAAUAAUAAUAAUAAUAAUAAUAAUAAUAAUAAUAAUAAUAAUAAUAAUAAUAAUAAUAAUAAUAAUAAUAAUAAUAAUAAUAAUAAUAAUAAUAAUAAUAAUAAUAAUAAUAAUAAUAAUAAUAAUAAUAAUAAUAAUAAUAAUAAUAAUAAUAAUAAUAAUAAUAAUAAUAAUAAUAAUAAUAAUAAUAAUAAUAAUAAUAAUAAUAAUAAUAAUAAUAAUAAUAAUAAUAAUAAUAAUAAUAAUAAUAAUAAUAAUAAUAAUAAUAAUAAUAAUAAUAAUAAUAAUAAUAAUAAUAAUAAUAAUAAUAAUAAUAAUAAUAAUAAUAAUAAUAAUAAUAAUAAUAAUAAUAAUAAUAAUAAUAAUAAUAAUAAUAAUAAUAAUAAUAAUAAUAAUAAUAAUAAUAAUAAUAAUAAUAAUAAUAAUAAUAAUAAUAAUAAUAAUAAUAAUAAUAAUAAUAAUAAUAAUAAUAAUAAUAAUAAUAAUAAUAAUAAUAAUAAUAAUAAUAAUAAUAAUAAUAAUAAUAAUAAUAAUAAUAAUAAUAAUAAUAAUAAUAAUAAUAAUAAUAAUAAUAAUAAUAAUAAUAAUAAUAAUAAUAAUAAUAAUAAUAAUAAUAAUAAUAAUAAUAAUAAUAAUAAUAAUAAUAAUAAUAAUAAUAAUAAUAAUAAUAAUAAUAAUAAUAAUAAUAAUAAUAAUAAUAAUAAUAAUAAUAAUAAUAAUAAUAAUAAUAAUAAUAAUAAUAAUAAUAAUAAUAAUAAUAAUAAUAAUAAUAAUAAUAAUAAUAAUAAUAAUAAUAAUAAUAAUAAUAAUAAUAAUAAUAAUAAUAAUAAUAAUAAUAAUAAUAAUAAUAAUAAUAAUAAUAAUAAUAAUAAUAAUAAUAAUAAUAAUAAUAAUAAUAAUAAUAAUAAUAAUAAUAAUAAUAAUAAUAAUAAUAAUAAUAAUAAUAAUAAUAAUAAUAAUAAUAAUAAUAAUAAUAAUAAUAAUAAUAAUAAUAAUAAUAAUAAUAAUAAUAAUAAUAAUAAUAAUAAUAAUAAUAAUAAUAAUAAUAAUAAUAAUAAUAAUAAUAAUAAUAAUAAUAAUAAUAAUAAUAAUAAUAAUAAUAAUAAUAAUAAUAAUAAUAAUAAUAAUAAUAAUAAUAAUAAUAAUAAUAAUAAUAAUAAUAAUAAUAAUAAUAAUAAUAAUAAUAAUAAUAAUAAUAAUAAUAAUAAUAAUAAUAAUAAUAAUAAUAAUAAUAAUAAUAAUAAUAAUAAUAAUAAUAAUAAUAAUAAUAAUAAUAAUAAUAAUAAUAAUAAUAAUAAUAAUAAUAAUAAUAAUAAUAAUAAUAAUAAUAAUAAUAAUAAUAAUAAUAAUAAUAAUAAUAAUAAUAAUAAUAAUAAUAAUAAUAAUAAUAAUAAUAAUAAUAAUAAUAAUAAUAAUAAUAAUAAUAAUAAUAAUAAUAAUAAUAAUAAUAAUAAUAAUAAUAAUAAUAAUAAUAAUAAUAAUAAUAAUAAUAAUAAUAAUAAUAAUAAUAAUAAUAAUAAUAAUAAUAAUAAUAAUAAUAAUAAUAAUAAUAAUAAUAAUAAUAAUAAUAAUAAUAAUAAUAAUAAUAAUAAUAAUAAUAAUAAUAAUAAUAAUAAUAAUAAUAAUAAUAAUAAUAAUAAUAAUAAUAAUAAUAAUAAUAAUAAUAAUAAUAAUAAUAAUAAUAAUAAUAAUAAUAAUAAUAAUAAUAAUAAUAAUAAUAAUAAUAAUAAUAAUAAUAAUAAUAAUAAUAAUAAUAAUAAUAAUAAUAAUAAUAAUAAUAAUAAUAAUAAUAAUAAUAAUAAUAAUAAUAAUAAUAAUAAUAAUAAUAAUAAUAAUAAUAAUAAUAAUAAUAAUAAUAAUAAUAAUAAUAAUAAUAAUAAUAAUAAUAAUAAUAAUAAUAAUAAUAAUAAUAAUAAUAAUAAUAAUAAUAAUAAUAAUAAUAAUAAUAAUAAUAAUAAUAAUAAUAAUAAUAAUAAUAAUAAUAAUAAUAAUAAUAAUAAUAAUAAUAAUAAUAAUAAUAAUAAUAAUAAUAAUAAUAAUAAUAAUAAUAAUAAUAAUAAUAAUAAUAAUAAUAAUAAUAAUAAUAAUAAUAAUAAUAAUAAUAAUAAUAAUAAUAAUAAUAAUAAUAAUAAUAAUAAUAAUAAUAAUAAUAAUAAUAAUAAUAAUAAUAAUAAUAAUAAUAAUAAUAAUAAUAAUAAUAAUAAUAAUAAUAAUAAUAAUAAUAAUAAUAAUAAUAAUAAUAAUAAUAAUAAUAAUAAUAAUAAUAAUAAUAAUAAUAAUAAUAAUAAUAAUAAUAAUAAUAAUAAUAAUAAUAAUAAUAAUAAUAAUAAUAAUAAUAAUAAUAAUAAUAAUAAUAAUAAUAAUAAUAAUAAUAAUAAUAAUAAUAAUAAUAAUAAUAAUAAUAAUAAUAAUAAUAAUAAUAAUAAUAAUAAUAAUAAUAAUAAUAAUAAUAAUAAUAAUAAUAAUAAUAAUAAUAAUAAUAAUAAUAAUAAUAAUAAUAAUAAUAAUAAUAAUAAUAAUAAUAAUAAUAAUAAUAAUAAUAAUAAUAAUAAUAAUAAUAAUAAUAAUAAUAAUAAUAAUAAUAAUAAUAAUAAUAAUAAUAAUAAUAAUAAUAAUAAUAAUAAUAAUAAUAAUAAUAAUAAUAAUAAUAAUAAUAAUAAUAAUAAUAAUAAUAAUAAUAAUAAUAAUAAUAAUAAUAAUAAUAAUAAUAAUAAUAAUAAUAAUAAUAAUAAUAAUAAUAAUAAUAAUAAUAAUAAUAAUAAUAAUAAUAAUAAUAAUAAUAAUAAUAAUAAUAAUAAUAAUAAUAAUAAUAAUAAUAAUAAUAAUAAUAAUAAUAAUAAUAAUAAUAAUAAUAAUAAUAAUAAUAAUAAUAAUAAUAAUAAUAAUAAUAAUAAUAAUAAUAAUAAUAAUAAUAAUAAUAAUAAUAAUAAUAAUAAUAAUAAUAAUAAUAAUAAUAAUAAUAAUAAUAAUAAUAAUAAUAAUAAUAAUAAUAAUAAUAAUAAUAAUAAUAAUAAUAAUAAUAAUAAUAAUAAUAAUAAUAAUAAUAAUAAUAAUAAUAAUAAUAAUAAUAAUAAUAAUAAUAAUAAUAAUAAUAAUAAUAAUAAUAAUAAUAAUAAUAAUAAUAAUAAUAAUAAUAAUAAUAAUAAUAAUAAUAAUAAUAAUAAUAAUAAUAAUAAUAAUAAUAAUAAUAAUAAUAAUAAUAAUAAUAAUAAUAAUAAUAAUAAUAAUAAUAAUAAUAAUAAUAAUAAUAAUAAUAAUAAUAAUAAUAAUAAUAAUAAUAAUAAUAAUAAUAAUAAUAAUAAUAAUAAUAAUAAUAAUAAUAAUAAUAAUAAUAAUAAUAAUAAUAAUAAUAAUAAUAAUAAUAAUAAUAAUAAUAAUAAUAAUAAUAAUAAUAAUAAUAAUAAUAAUAAUAAUAAUAAUAAUAAUAAUAAUAAUAAUAAUAAUAAUAAUAAUAAUAAUAAUAAUAAUAAUAAUAAUAAUAAUAAUAAUAAUAAUAAUAAUAAUAAUAAUAAUAAUAAUAAUAAUAAUAAUAAUAAUAAUAAUAAUAAUAAUAAUAAUAAUAAUAAUAAUAAUAAUAAUAAUAAUAAUAAUAAUAAUAAUAAUAAUAAUAAUAAUAAUAAUAAUAAUAAUAAUAAUAAUAAUAAUAAUAAUAAUAAUAAUAAUAAUAAUAAUAAUAAUAAUAAUAAUAAUAAUAAUAAUAAUAAUAAUAAUAAUAAUAAUAAUAAUAAUAAUAAUAAUAAUAAUAAUAAUAAUAAUAAUAAUAAUAAUAAUAAUAAUAAUAAUAAUAAUAAUAAUAAUAAUAAUAAUAAUAAUAAUAAUAAUAAUAAUAAUAAUAAUAAUAAUAAUAAUAAUAAUAAUAAUAAUAAUAAUAAUAAUAAUAAUAAUAAUAAUAAUAAUAAUAAUAAUAAUAAUAAUAAUAAUAAUAAUAAUAAUAAUAAUAAUAAUAAUAAUAAUAAUAAUAAUAAUAAUAAUAAUAAUAAUAAUAAUAAUAAUAAUAAUAAUAAUAAUAAUAAUAAUAAUAAUAAUAAUAAUAAUAAUAAUAAUAAUAAUAAUAAUAAUAAUAAUAAUAAUAAUAAUAAUAAUAAUAAUAAUAAUAAUAAUAAUAAUAAUAAUAAUAAUAAUAAUAAUAAUAAUAAUAAUAAUAAUAAUAAUAAUAAUAAUAAUAAUAAUAAUAAUAAUAAUAAUAAUAAUAAUAAUAAUAAUAAUAAUAAUAAUAAUAAUAAUAAUAAUAAUAAUAAUAAUAAUAAUAAUAAUAAUAAUAAUAAUAAUAAUAAUAAUAAUAAUAAUAAUAAUAAUAAUAAUAAUAAUAAUAAUAAUAAUAAUAAUAAUAAUAAUAAUAAUAAUAAUAAUAAUAAUAAUAAUAAUAAUAAUAAUAAUAAUAAUAAUAAUAAUAAUAAUAAUAAUAAUAAUAAUAAUAAUAAUAAUAAUAAUAAUAAUAAUAAUAAUAAUAAUAAUAAUAAUAAUAAUAAUAAUAAUAAUAAUAAUAAUAAUAAUAAUAAUAAUAAUAAUAAUAAUAAUAAUAAUAAUAAUAAUAAUAAUAAUAAUAAUAAUAAUAAUAAUAAUAAUAAUAAUAAUAAUAAUAAUAAUAAUAAUAAUAAUAAUAAUAAUAAUAAUAAUAAUAAUAAUAAUAAUAAUAAUAAUAAUAAUAAUAAUAAUAAUAAUAAUAAUAAUAAUAAUAAUAAUAAUAAUAAUAAUAAUAAUAAUAAUAAUAAUAAUAAUAAUAAUAAUAAUAAUAAUAAUAAUAAUAAUAAUAAUAAUAAUAAUAAUAAUAAUAAUAAUAAUAAUAAUAAUAAUAAUAAUAAUAAUAAUAAUAAUAAUAAUAAUAAUAAUAAUAAUAAUAAUAAUAAUAAUAAUAAUAAUAAUAAUAAUAAUAAUAAUAAUAAUAAUAAUAAUAAUAAUAAUAAUAAUAAUAAUAAUAAUAAUAAUAAUAAUAAUAAUAAUAAUAAUAAUAAUAAUAAUAAUAAUAAUAAUAAUAAUAAUAAUAAUAAUAAUAAUAAUAAUAAUAAUAAUAAUAAUAAUAAUAAUAAUAAUAAUAAUAAUAAUAAUAAUAAUAAUAAUAAUAAUAAUAAUAAUAAUAAUAAUAAUAAUAAUAAUAAUAAUAAUAAUAAUAAUAAUAAUAAUAAUAAUAAUAAUAAUAAUAAUAAUAAUAAUAAUAAUAAUAAUAAUAAUAAUAAUAAUAAUAAUAAUAAUAAUAAUAAUAAUAAUAAUAAUAAUAAUAAUAAUAAUAAUAAUAAUAAUAAUAAUAAUAAUAAUAAUAAUAAUAAUAAUAAUAAUAAUAAUAAUAAUAAUAAUAAUAAUAAUAAUAAUAAUAAUAAUAAUAAUAAUAAUAAUAAUAAUAAUAAUAAUAAUAAUAAUAAUAAUAAUAAUAAUAAUAAUAAUAAUAAUAAUAAUAAUAAUAAUAAUAAUAAUAAUAAUAAUAAUAAUAAUAAUAAUAAUAAUAAUAAUAAUAAUAAUAAUAAUAAUAAUAAUAAUAAUAAUAAUAAUAAUAAUAAUAAUAAUAAUAAUAAUAAUAAUAAUAAUAAUAAUAAUAAUAAUAAUAAUAAUAAUAAUAAUAAUAAUAAUAAUAAUAAUAAUAAUAAUAAUAAUAAUAAUAAUAAUAAUAAUAAUAAUAAUAAUAAUAAUAAUAAUAAUAAUAAUAAUAAUAAUAAUAAUAAUAAUAAUAAUAAUAAUAAUAAUAAUAAUAAUAAUAAUAAUAAUAAUAAUAAUAAUAAUAAUAAUAAUAAUAAUAAUAAUAAUAAUAAUAAUAAUAAUAAUAAUAAUAAUAAUAAUAAUAAUAAUAAUAAUAAUAAUAAUAAUAAUAAUAAUAAUAAUAAUAAUAAUAAUAAUAAUAAUAAUAAUAAUAAUAAUAAUAAUAAUAAUAAUAAUAAUAAUAAUAAUAAUAAUAAUAAUAAUAAUAAUAAUAAUAAUAAUAAUAAUAAUAAUAAUAAUAAUAAUAAUAAUAAUAAUAAUAAUAAUAAUAAUAAUAAUAAUAAUAAUAAUAAUAAUAAUAAUAAUAAUAAUAAUAAUAAUAAUAAUAAUAAUAAUAAUAAUAAUAAUAAUAAUAAUAAUAAUAAUAAUAAUAAUAAUAAUAAUAAUAAUAAUAAUAAUAAUAAUAAUAAUAAUAAUAAUAAUAAUAAUAAUAAUAAUAAUAAUAAUAAUAAUAAUAAUAAUAAUAAUAAUAAUAAUAAUAAUAAUAAUAAUAAUAAUAAUAAUAAUAAUAAUAAUAAUAAUAAUAAUAAUAAUAAUAAUAAUAAUAAUAAUAAUAAUAAUAAUAAUAAUAAUAAUAAUAAUAAUAAUAAUAAUAAUAAUAAUAAUAAUAAUAAUAAUAAUAAUAAUAAUAAUAAUAAUAAUAAUAAUAAUAAUAAUAAUAAUAAUAAUAAUAAUAAUAAUAAUAAUAAUAAUAAUAAUAAUAAUAAUAAUAAUAAUAAUAAUAAUAAUAAUAAUAAUAAUAAUAAUAAUAAUAAUAAUAAUAAUAAUAAUAAUAAUAAUAAUAAUAAUAAUAAUAAUAAUAAUAAUAAUAAUAAUAAUAAUAAUAAUAAUAAUAAUAAUAAUAAUAAUAAUAAUAAUAAUAAUAAUAAUAAUAAUAAUAAUAAUAAUAAUAAUAAUAAUAAUAAUAAUAAUAAUAAUAAUAAUAAUAAUAAUAAUAAUAAUAAUAAUAAUAAUAAUAAUAAUAAUAAUAAUAAUAAUAAUAAUAAUAAUAAUAAUAAUAAUAAUAAUAAUAAUAAUAAUAAUAAUAAUAAUAAUAAUAAUAAUAAUAAUAAUAAUAAUAAUAAUAAUAAUAAUAAUAAUAAUAAUAAUAAUAAUAAUAAUAAUAAUAAUAAUAAUAAUAAUAAUAAUAAUAAUAAUAAUAAUAAUAAUAAUAAUAAUAAUAAUAAUAAUAAUAAUAAUAAUAAUAAUAAUAAUAAUAAUAAUAAUAAUAAUAAUAAUAAUAAUAAUAAUAAUAAUAAUAAUAAUAAUAAUAAUAAUAAUAAUAAUAAUAAUAAUAAUAAUAAUAAUAAUAAUAAUAAUAAUAAUAAUAAUAAUAAUAAUAAUAAUAAUAAUAAUAAUAAUAAUAAUAAUAAUAAUAAUAAUAAUAAUAAUAAUAAUAAUAAUAAUAAUAAUAAUAAUAAUAAUAAUAAUAAUAAUAAUAAUAAUAAUAAUAAUAAUAAUAAUAAUAAUAAUAAUAAUAAUAAUAAUAAUAAUAAUAAUAAUAAUAAUAAUAAUAAUAAUAAUAAUAAUAAUAAUAAUAAUAAUAAUAAUAAUAAUAAUAAUAAUAAUAAUAAUAAUAAUAAUAAUAAUAAUAAUAAUAAUAAUAAUAAUAAUAAUAAUAAUAAUAAUAAUAAUAAUAAUAAUAAUAAUAAUAAUAAUAAUAAUAAUAAUAAUAAUAAUAAUAAUAAUAAUAAUAAUAAUAAUAAUAAUAAUAAUAAUAAUAAUAAUAAUAAUAAUAAUAAUAAUAAUAAUAAUAAUAAUAAUAAUAAUAAUAAUAAUAAUAAUAAUAAUAAUAAUAAUAAUAAUAAUAAUAAUAAUAAUAAUAAUAAUAAUAAUAAUAAUAAUAAUAAUAAUAAUAAUAAUAAUAAUAAUAAUAAUAAUAAUAAUAAUAAUAAUAAUAAUAAUAAUAAUAAUAAUAAUAAUAAUAAUAAUAAUAAUAAUAAUAAUAAUAAUAAUAAUAAUAAUAAUAAUAAUAAUAAUAAUAAUAAUAAUAAUAAUAAUAAUAAUAAUAAUAAUAAUAAUAAUAAUAAUAAUAAUAAUAAUAAUAAUAAUAAUAAUAAUAAUAAUAAUAAUAAUAAUAAUAAUAAUAAUAAUAAUAAUAAUAAUAAUAAUAAUAAUAAUAAUAAUAAUAAUAAUAAUAAUAAUAAUAAUAAUAAUAAUAAUAAUAAUAAUAAUAAUAAUAAUAAUAAUAAUAAUAAUAAUAAUAAUAAUAAUAAUAAUAAUAAUAAUAAUAAUAAUAAUAAUAAUAAUAAUAAUAAUAAUAAUAAUAAUAAUAAUAAUAAUAAUAAUAAUAAUAAUAAUAAUAAUAAUAAUAAUAAUAAUAAUAAUAAUAAUAAUAAUAAUAAUAAUAAUAAUAAUAAUAAUAAUAAUAAUAAUAAUAAUAAUAAUAAUAAUAAUAAUAAUAAUAAUAAUAAUAAUAAUAAUAAUAAUAAUAAUAAUAAUAAUAAUAAUAAUAAUAAUAAUAAUAAUAAUAAUAAUAAUAAUAAUAAUAAUAAUAAUAAUAAUAAUAAUAAUAAUAAUAAUAAUAAUAAUAAUAAUAAUAAUAAUAAUAAUAAUAAUAAUAAUAAUAAUAAUAAUAAUAAUAAUAAUAAUAAUAAUAAUAAUAAUAAUAAUAAUAAUAAUAAUAAUAAUAAUAAUAAUAAUAAUAAUAAUAAUAAUAAUAAUAAUAAUAAUAAUAAUAAUAAUAAUAAUAAUAAUAAUAAUAAUAAUAAUAAUAAUAAUAAUAAUAAUAAUAAUAAUAAUAAUAAUAAUAAUAAUAAUAAUAAUAAUAAUAAUAAUAAUAAUAAUAAUAAUAAUAAUAAUAAUAAUAAUAAUAAUAAUAAUAAUAAUAAUAAUAAUAAUAAUAAUAAUAAUAAUAAUAAUAAUAAUAAUAAUAAUAAUAAUAAUAAUAAUAAUAAUAAUAAUAAUAAUAAUAAUAAUAAUAAUAAUAAUAAUAAUAAUAAUAAUAAUAAUAAUAAUAAUAAUAAUAAUAAUAAUAAUAAUAAUAAUAAUAAUAAUAAUAAUAAUAAUAAUAAUAAUAAUAAUAAUAAUAAUAAUAAUAAUAAUAAUAAUAAUAAUAAUAAUAAUAAUAAUAAUAAUAAUAAUAAUAAUAAUAAUAAUAAUAAUAAUAAUAAUAAUAAUAAUAAUAAUAAUAAUAAUAAUAAUAAUAAUAAUAAUAAUAAUAAUAAUAAUAAUAAUAAUAAUAAUAAUAAUAAUAAUAAUAAUAAUAAUAAUAAUAAUAAUAAUAAUAAUAAUAAUAAUAAUAAUAAUAAUAAUAAUAAUAAUAAUAAUAAUAAUAAUAAUAAUAAUAAUAAUAAUAAUAAUAAUAAUAAUAAUAAUAAUAAUAAUAAUAAUAAUAAUAAUAAUAAUAAUAAUAAUAAUAAUAAUAAUAAUAAUAAUAAUAAUAAUAAUAAUAAUAAUAAUAAUAAUAAUAAUAAUAAUAAUAAUAAUAAUAAUAAUAAUAAUAAUAAUAAUAAUAAUAAUAAUAAUAAUAAUAAUAAUAAUAAUAAUAAUAAUAAUAAUAAUAAUAAUAAUAAUAAUAAUAAUAAUAAUAAUAAUAAUAAUAAUAAUAAUAAUAAUAAUAAUAAUAAUAAUAAUAAUAAUAAUAAUAAUAAUAAUAAUAAUAAUAAUAAUAAUAAUAAUAAUAAUAAUAAUAAUAAUAAUAAUAAUAAUAAUAAUAAUAAUAAUAAUAAUAAUAAUAAUAAUAAUAAUAAUAAUAAUAAUAAUAAUAAUAAUAAUAAUAAUAAUAAUAAUAAUAAUAAUAAUAAUAAUAAUAAUAAUAAUAAUAAUAAUAAUAAUAAUAAUAAUAAUAAUAAUAAUAAUAAUAAUAAUAAUAAUAAUAAUAAUAAUAAUAAUAAUAAUAAUAAUAAUAAUAAUAAUAAUAAUAAUAAUAAUAAUAAUAAUAAUAAUAAUAAUAAUAAUAAUAAUAAUAAUAAUAAUAAUAAUAAUAAUAAUAAUAAUAAUAAUAAUAAUAAUAAUAAUAAUAAUAAUAAUAAUAAUAAUAAUAAUAAUAAUAAUAAUAAUAAUAAUAAUAAUAAUAAUAAUAAUAAUAAUAAUAAUAAUAAUAAUAAUAAUAAUAAUAAUAAUAAUAAUAAUAAUAAUAAUAAUAAUAAUAAUAAUAAUAAUAAUAAUAAUAAUAAUAAUAAUAAUAAUAAUAAUAAUAAUAAUAAUAAUAAUAAUAAUAAUAAUAAUAAUAAUAAUAAUAAUAAUAAUAAUAAUAAUAAUAAUAAUAAUAAUAAUAAUAAUAAUAAUAAUAAUAAUAAUAAUAAUAAUAAUAAUAAUAAUAAUAAUAAUAAUAAUAAUAAUAAUAAUAAUAAUAAUAAUAAUAAUAAUAAUAAUAAUAAUAAUAAUAAUAAUAAUAAUAAUAAUAAUAAUAAUAAUAAUAAUAAUAAUAAUAAUAAUAAUAAUAAUAAUAAUAAUAAUAAUAAUAAUAAUAAUAAUAAUAAUAAUAAUAAUAAUAAUAAUAAUAAUAAUAAUAAUAAUAAUAAUAAUAAUAAUAAUAAUAAUAAUAAUAAUAAUAAUAAUAAUAAUAAUAAUAAUAAUAAUAAUAAUAAUAAUAAUAAUAAUAAUAAUAAUAAUAAUAAUAAUAAUAAUAAUAAUAAUAAUAAUAAUAAUAAUAAUAAUAAUAAUAAUAAUAAUAAUAAUAAUAAUAAUAAUAAUAAUAAUAAUAAUAAUAAUAAUAAUAAUAAUAAUAAUAAUAAUAAUAAUAAUAAUAAUAAUAAUAAUAAUAGAGAAGAGAAAAAUUAGAUCUAGGGUUUCUUUCUUUUUCUCCAAUCCAAAAAUCCCCCCUUUUCACAAUAGAUUCCUCCCUUAAAUACUCUCUCUCUCUUCUCCUCUAGAAUUCUAUUUAAAAUAAAAUACUAACAUCUGAAAUAUUAAAUUCGUAAUUACAAAAAUAACCAAAAAUACAAAACACGUUAAACUAAAAACUGCAGGUCCGCAGUUGACAGCACGCGCCCACGCCUUAUCAACAAAGUUCUUCUGACGCUCAUAAUUUCUCCAAGAGAACAAUCAUCCUUAAACAUCAUCUUAUAGCUCAAUUUUAUCAUCAAUCAAUAGAAUUGCACCUACAAAAGUAAAACAUAAGUAAAUCACUAUUAUUAAGUGCAAAACAUUGAUAUUAAGGGAAGUAAAUAAUGCAAAACUAGUGCAUAAAUUGCACUCUAACAGUAAUCAGUAAUCAGCAUUAAAAAUUAAAUUAAAUUAAAUUUUUUUGUUUUUAAUAUUAUUUAGUUAUAGACUUAUUAUUAUAUUUAUUCGUUCAUAAAACUAAAUAAUGUUAAAUCAAAUAAAAUAAUCAGGAAUGGUUCUUAAAAAAUUAAUAUUAUUUAUUUUAUUUUAUUUAAUAUUAUUUAGUCAUAGCCUAUUAUUCUGUUUAUUUUUUGAAAAUUAAAUAAUAUUAAAUAAAAUAGAAUAGAAAAUGUGAGUCCUUAAAAAUAAAAAUUAUUUUUAAUAUUAUUUAUUUUAUUUAAAAGAAUAAAUUUUUUAAUAUUUUUAUUUUAUUAAAAAAUAUUAUUUAAUAUUAUCUAGUCAUAGGCUUAUUAUUAUAUUUCUUCUUUUAGAAAGUUAAAUAGUAUUAAAUGAAAUAAAAUUACAUUUUAGAAGGUCAUUAGCCAAAGCACAUAAACUUAUAAACAAAUGGAAAUAAAAAAGGUAAAUAAUAUUCAAUAAAAUAAAAUUACAUUUUAAAAGGUCACCAACCAAAGCACAUAAUAUUAUAACAAAAAUGUAAAUAAAAAAGAAAGUAAGAGAUUCAAUGAAAUUUAACAUCACAAAAGACAAUUUCAAAAAUUGGGGGUAGCUUGCAACUGUUGCAAAGUGGCUGGUUCCAUAAUUUUGAGAUAAUGUUUCGGUUUCAAAUAUUGUUAUCGAUACCUAAUUAUAAGUAAUAAAAAAAUAUUGUAUAAUUUUUUUACCAACAUUUACAAUACAUUUUAUUUUGAUUUCUGAAAAAAAUAGAUAAAACACAAAUUAAUUAUUUUAACCCUCUAUUCUCUCAAUAUUUAAACUCGAAUAAUCAGUUAAAAGUUGCUCGAGAAUGUUUAAAAGCCAUUUAAGUAUACCACGUCAUUCAUGUUUUGCAAUCAUUCAAUUGUUAAUAAGUUUCCCAUGUGCUGAAAAUAAAUAAAAAUGCACGUGCAUAUGUCAUAUUGUCUCCGAAACCUCACAGCGGAAUGAGUGUAGUACUUGCAAUGCAUGUACUUUAGACUUUGUAUUUCUCUUAUUUAAAUGAUCAAUAAUUUUUCUUUGUCCUUUAAUUAGACGUCAACAGUCGAAGUUGUGGGCAGGUAGUAGGCUAUAUAUAAUAAUUUCCUGGAGAUCUUCCGUCUUCUAAGACAUUGCAAAUGCCAAACGUGAUAACUAUUUUGAUAAUUCAAAUACUACAUAAAAUAUAUGAAGUGUCAGACAAGUCAAAAGAAUUGAUUCUUCACAAUUGUAUAUACGUAUACACACACUUUGCCCAAAUCCCAUUGUAUCCAGGCUGUAAUUUUUAUAUUAAACGAACAUAUUUUAUUUUAUGUCAGCAAUAUUGAUGCAGGCUGGGGGAACAACAGCUUCAGGAUGGUCAACUACCCUUCGGAUCAUUGCAAGUGGGAUGGCAUCACUUGCAAUUCAGAUGGAAGCAUAAUCAGGCUAAAAUUAUCAUGGUGUGAUGUUGACUUCAAAAGGUAAUCUUCGUAAAAUUAUCAUGGUAUAAUAUACGUAUUUAUUUUCGCAUACAUAAAUAAAUAACAAAAUUGUAAUUAAUUGGAUACAGCUUCAGCUUUUGGACUGGUUUGUGAAAAUCAGAAAAAUUUAAAAAUGCUCCUCUUGAACAAUCAAAAUCUACUUUAUACGUGAACAAAGGGGAUGAUUCGUAAAGAUAGUUCAUCAAUGUUUGAUUGCUUUCAAGCGUGUCGAUUACUUUCAGAAAGAAAGACUUCAUUUGAUCUCGUCACAAAACAUAAUUUCACUUUGAAUUUGAAAAAGAAUAAUGAAGUUCAUACAAGUGCUGUUAUGACCUUUUUUUUUUUGUUUUCUUUUUUUCUCGACGUUGUUUUGUGAAUCAUAAGGGUUAAUUUAAUACGGUGGGUUCGCUUGUAUGAAGCGCACUUAUUGUACCAUUCUGUUGCAAGCAAUGAAAAAACGCUAUAAUUUUUUUAAGUUUCUACAAGUAUUAUGUUAUCUUAUAUCUAAAUGUGCAUCUCUAGUCUUUGCUCUCAGUUCAGGUUCUCUAAAAGUAUAUUAAUUAUGAAAAGCAUUAAAGGUUCCGAAACUCUAUUUUGCGGGGAAAAAGAACCUCCAUUUUUGGUUUUUUAUUAUAUGAGAUUUUACUAUGCUCGUAAUAACUUAAUCGAAAUUAAACAUAUCACUGGUCUACAUUUUUUUAUAAGAUUUUGUGACUUGCUAAUUAAGAUGAGUAUCACCAUCAAAUCAACAAGCUUAUACCUUCAAAGAAAAAUAGACUAUAAGUCGGGAGAAAGAAGAAAAAAAAAAAAAAAAGAAUCUUCGCAAUUUAUGCUGUUGGUUGUGAGUUCAUGAAACAAAUAAAAAUAUGAAAUCAAACAUUUAUUCAAAAUUUAAAAUUAAAAAAAAAACUCUAUAUCUACAGUAAUCUGUUCAAACCACAUAGGUGGAGCAAUAUAGUUCCAAGACGUGGUUUUAAAACAUGUCUUUGUGAUAAACAAUAUCGUGAUACUUGCGCCAAUUCCCAUGGCAAUAAUUGCCUACAUUUAUCCAAGAUCCAUGGCCAGGUUUAGAAUGUGCUAGUCUUCUUUCACUUUCAUAAAUAACCACUACUAGGUAAUCAGAGUGUCGGUCUAAAUUUUUCGGAGAUACAACGUCAAUGUAUGUGCCCGGAGUUGAAGCUGAACGCGCUUAAAUAUGUUCGGAAUUUGAAGUUGAACGCCUGGAAAAGGAUGCAGACUGAAGAAAGGCAAUUCCUGGAAUUUGUCUUUGGUAAGAAAACAUGGCUGCUUAUGCCCUUUGAAAGACUGAAGAAACCAAAUUGAUUAUUGCUGCAAUUUAGUGGCACAUGUACGAGGAGAGGCAUCCAAUUAAACUUGUUCAUAAAAGUAUUGCUGAUAGUUGCAGCCGAUCUCCAGACAAAAUCUUCGUACAAUUUUAUCCGCCAGCAAUUUCGACCAAGAGACCUUGAUGCAGUUCAGACCAAUUCGCCAGUUGAACAUCAAGUUGCCUAGGCAUUGAGAAUUAGGUCAAUAAAAUAUAUCCUGGGUCACUUACAAAAGAUGAAAUAAGUGAAAAAGGAAAGAUGACGUAAUAAUUUCUUAGUGAGAAAAGUUAGUUAAUUUGCAAAGGUCUUAGAUAAUCAAUUUGAUGUAAAAAUAUCAAAAUUUUUUUUAAUCAGUGAAAUAUUCAACCUCUAGUUUCAGCACUACAAAUGAAUUAAAUAGAAUAAUGAUAGAUAUUUUAAAAUUUUAUCCCAAAUGAUGUGAUAUGUAAUGUAUCAUUCAUUAAGUAGUUGAUGAUUUUUUUAUAAAUUUUAAGUGGAUUAAUUAUAUUAUUUUACCAACGAGUAAAUAAAUGUCACAUCAUUAGAGAAGAAAUUUUAAGGUAAAACUUUUCAAAUAUAUAUCACUACUCCAUUAAAUAUGGUAUAAAAAAUCUAAUAGGGACCAAAAAUAUAAAAACCCAUUAAAAAUAAAAAAUAUAAAAGUCAAUUCCUAAUUAGAAGAAUGAAAGUUUGUUUCUCCUACAAUCAUUUCACUAGAUUUUAAAUAAAUUAAUUAAUGAAAAUUUUUAAUAACAAAUCGGUGCCUAAACCUAACGUCUUUUUUUUUUUGGUCUUAUCCACGAGGUAUCCUGGGGAGGGCCCCAACUGUGGGAGGCACCUUUAAGCCCGUACCACAACCCAGACUAGAAGUCCCCGCUCGAACCGGGAGGCACAGGUUCUCCCAACAAAGGCGACUUCCCCGCGACUCGAACUGGGGAGCAAACCCAGUCAAGCCACUUAAGGGGACUCCAUUGCCAGUGGAGCCAACACUUUGUUGGUUAAACCUAACGUCUUUGACAGUGCUGCCAAUAUCACUCACAACUUACAAGAAAAUUUUGGUAUUAAAUUUAUUAAUGUUCUCAAGGAAUUUUUAGUUUGACUUUGCAUUCUCAGACCCAUUUGUCACAUAACACGUUAGCAAAGACCUUUAAUGAGAAUAUUAAAACAGCUGUCGAAUAAGCAUCUUGACGACGACUUUUUGACAUAUAUGCAUGCCUCCUUUUGUGAACAAAUUUGAAACAUAAAAGAAAAUUUUGAUCCAUGUGAGAGCUGGAGUAUUUUAUAGCUUUUGACCUCAUUAAUUAUGAGUAAGGGAAUAUUUCUACGUCACUAACGAUUAACAUGAUCACUAUAUAAAGGGAAGCAAAGUAUGUUUAGCAUCAAGUCAGAAAACACAAUUUUUAGGAAAUGGGAACUCUAGGACAGGCGAAGCAAUGGCCUCAAUUGGUUUGUGCUAUGGCAUUUUUGCUCAUAGCCACCACAACCGCAAAGGCAUCAGCUGAUGAUUAUGGCCCAGCACCAUCACCAAAGCAUGCAAAGCACCCUCCAAGCCAUUACAAGCCACCGAAACCACCAAAGCACCACGAGUCACCACCACCAUACUACUAUAACUCACCACCUCCACCAGUACAUUCUCCUCCACCACCUUAUUACUAUAAGUCUCCACCACCACCUUCUCUAUCUCCACCACCUCCUUACUAUUAUAAAUCACCACCACCACCGAAACAUUCUCCUCCACCUCCUUACUACUACAAAUCACCACCUCCUCCUUCUCCCUCUCCACCUCCACCAUAUUAUUACAAGUCUCCCCCACCACCAUCUCCAUCUCCCCCACCGCCUUACUACUAUAAAUCCCCACCACCACCAAAAUAUUCUCCUCCACCACCUUACUACUAUAAGUCACCACCUCCACCAGUGAAAUCUCCACCUCCGCCAUAUUACUAUAAAUCACCACCACCACCAAAACAUUCUCCCCCACCACCUUACUACUACAAGUCACCACCACCACCAAUGCAUUCUCCCCCACCACCUUACUAUUACAAAUCUCCACCACCACCAAAGCAUUCUCCUCCACCACCACCUUAUUACAAAUCACCACCCCCACCACCACCAAAACAUUCUCCCCCACCACCUUACUACUAUAAAUCUCCACCGCCACCAAAACAUUCUCCUCCUCCACCAUACUACUAUAAGUCACCACCUCCACCUGUAAAGUCUCCACCUCCACCACCUCACUACAAAUCACCACCACCACCAAAACAGUCUCCUCCACCACCUUAUUACUACAAGUCACCACCCCCACCAGUAAAGUCUCCACCACAGCCACCAAAGCAUUCUCCCCCGCCACCUUACUAUUACAAAUCACCACCUCCACCAAUGAAGUCUCCACCACCGCCACCUUACUAUAAAUCACCACCACCACCAAAUUCUCCCCCUCCACCUUACUAUUACAAAUCACCACCACCACCAAAGCAUUCCCCCCCGCCACCUUAUUACUAUAGAUCUCCACCACCACCAAAGUAUUCUCCCCCACCACCUUACUACUAUAAGUCACCACCUCCACCAAAGCAUUCUCCCCCGCCUCCUUACUAUUACAAAUCUCCACCACCACCUUACUAAUACAAAUCUCCACCACCACCAUCUCUAUCCCCACCUCCAUCUUCCAUUUACACCGCCACCAUCUACAUCACCUCCACCACCAUCUCCAUCAUUGUCACUAUUGCCUUCCGACUACUCCAUGUGAUCACCACCUCCCGAAGACUUCUAAGUUCAAUGUCCCUUCUUGAAACAAGUUU
Molecule: long non-coding RNA, 46880 nt
Filed under: Citrus sinensis (sweet orange)
Lineage: Eukaryota; Viridiplantae; Streptophyta; Magnoliopsida; Sapindales; Rutaceae
Description: long non-coding RNA (CSIN_LNC000969)
Source: RNAcentral